GCCUAAGCAUCCAAGGAACCUCCUCCAAGGUGUGUGGAAUAGCUCUAGAUGUUUCUCUUUGUCAAAACAAUAGGGUUUCAAGUCGCACUAGGGCUAUAUAUAGGCCAAAAAGAUAACAAAAUGAUCACAGAAUCCGCAAAAUAAAAACUGACAACUGCUCAACCCCUAAUUUGACCGCUCAGCGGUUUCCCCUUAAUCGCAGGACCGCUCAACUUCCAAAACUGCCGCUCAGCGCCAAAAACUGACCGCUCAGCGCCAAAAACUGACCGCUCAACGCCCAUUUUCACUGCUCAGUGAUGAAGGUCGAAAAACAGUGAUUUUCAUAUGUCAAUUUGGACCAAAUUACACUCUUUACUACUCGGAAUGAGCUUAGACUCAAGCAAAACUCAAUAAAUGAGUCUGAAGAGAGUCAAACGUUGUUUUUAGCUAUUUUAUGUUUAUUUUGAAUUUUUUUGUAGCUAAUUUGAGAAAAGUGAGAAUGGAGUUAAAGAUACAGGUCGUUGACUCAAGAAGAGAACAGAAAAAUGAAGAUUUGAAGAGUCGAUGCACUGCCCAGCAGCACACUAAAAACCACUGGGGAGUCCAGGACGAGAAGUAAGCAUGGAAAUGGGCACUGAGGGAAACCGCCGGGCGGCGGCGAUUGCCGCCGGGCGGUGGCGGCAGGUUAUGGGAAACCGCCGGGCGGCACACUUAAACCGCCCGGCGGUGGCAUGUUGGACUUGGGCCUNNNNNNNNNNNNNNNNNNNNNNNNNNNNNNNNNNNNNNNNNNNNNNNNNNNNNNNNNNNNNNNNNNNNNNNNNNNNNNNNNNNNNNNNNNNNNNNNNNNNNNNNNNNNNNNNNNNNNNNNNNNNNNNNNNNNNNNNNNNNNNNNNNNNNNNNNNNNNNNNNNNNNNNNNNNNNNNNNNNNNNNNNNNNNNNNNNNNNNNNNNNNNNNNNNNNNNNNNNNNNNNNNNNNNNNNNNNNNNNNNNNNNNNNNNNNNNNNNNNNNNNNNNNNNNNNNNNNNNNNNNNNNNNNNNNNNNNNNNNNNNNNNNNNNNNNNNNNNNNNNNNNNNNNNNNNNNNNNNNNNNNNNNNNNNNNNNNNNNNNNNNNNNNNNNNNNNNNNNNNNNNNNNNNNNNNNNNNNNNNNNNNNNNNNNNNNNNNNNNNNNNNNNNNNNNNNNNNNNNNNNNNNNNNNNNNNNNNNNNNNNNNNNNNNNNNNNNNNNNNNNNNNNNNNNNNNNNNNNNNNNNNNNNNNNNNNNNNNNNNNNNNNNNNNNNNNNNNNNNNNNNNNNNNNNNNNNNNNNNNNNNNNNNNNNNNNNNNNNNNNNNNNNNNNNNNNNNNNNNNNNNNNNNNNNNNNNNNNNNNNNNNNNNNNNNNNNNNNNNNNNNNNAAUAAUCAAGGGUAGUAAGUAAGAGAGAGUGGAAUAGAUGAAAUUGUUAGUACCCAACAACAUCCAUCCAUCCAUUGUUUUCACUUGUCAAUUGAAUCAACAUUUAUUUUGCAUGUUAAUAUUUUUAUCCUCAAAUUCCAAUUUAUUAAAUUUUAUUUUUCAAGUCUUAUUAUUUUAAUUCACUCGAAAGAGAAAGCCAUACGAGUCCCUUGGGAAAAACGAUACUUGGUCUUACCAUUUAUAUUACUUGUACGAUUUGGUACAACUGCCAAUUCGUCAACACUCAGCGCUGGUCAACUGCACUCUGGUCAACUGGUUGACUUUCUAGUUAACUGAUUGACUUUCUAGUUGACUAGUUGACUUUUUUGCAUUCUGGUUGACUUUUCUGCACUAUAACUCUUUGAUAAUUCUCACCAGGUGGUUUACAAUAUGAGUGAACCGUUUCUGGACAUCAUAGAUGUUCUCACCAGCUUUCAUUCUGAACACCUCAUUUUCUUGAAUCAAUGAAUUUUUCCUGGCUCUCUUGACUUCAUCUGUUCCUUCUUCUAGUACUAGAACAUAUGUACUGUUAUUAAGCAUUGUGUUGUCAUCAUCAAAAACCAGUUUGAUAUAGAGUUUGUGUUGUCAACAAUCUCAACCCUGAGGCUUUAGGUUUUGCAUCCCUGGCAAAAGAGAGCAUAUAAUACACUCCUAGCCAAUUCUUAGUCUUUCAUUCUUCUUUCUUUUCUUCCACUGUUCAUAGGUUCCCCCAUGUCUAUGGGGAAUCAAUUUCUAUUUGUUCUUGGGGAGUGAUGUAACCUUGUUGAUGAAGGUUGAAAAACAGUUAUUUUCAUAUGUUAAUUUAAACCAAGUUACACCCUUUACUACUUGGAAUGACCUUAGAAUCAAGCAAAACUCAAUAAAUGCGUCUGUAGAGAGUCAAGAGUUGUUUUUAGCGAUAUUACGCUUGUUUUGCAUUGUUUUGUAGUAUUUUGGAGAAAGUGAAGAAUGGAGUUGAAAAUACAGGUCGUAGACUCAAGAAAAGAGCAAAAAAAUGAAGAUUUGAAGAGUCGACGCACCGCCCGGUGGCAACUUAAACCGUCGGGCGGCCCAAGGCUAGGAGUAGGCACUGGCGUUGGCGCUGGGCGGUUUUGAGGGAAAUCGCCGGGCGACACCUUACACCGCCGGGCAGUUCUGAGGCUUUUGGGAAAUUGUCGGGCACCACGCUUGAACCGCCGGGCGGUGGUCCGCUGGGCUUGGGCUUGUUUUCUAUUGCGCUCCUCACCUAUAAAUACCCCUAUUUCGAGUUCAGAGUUAUUCUUUUGACAGGGGAGAACGACAAGACCUAAUUUUGCUCUCUGAAGAGGAUCUCUUGGAUGCUUCGGCUCUUUUUCAUCUUUUCUAGGGUUUGCUUUUCCAUUCUUCUUCCAUUUUCCAUCUAGAUUCACCAUGUCCAUGGUGAACUAAACCCUAUUGUAGUUGGGGGAAACAAUGUAAUCUUUUGAUACUCUUUUUUAUUGAAACUCUUGAUUAUUUAUAUGGUUUCCAUAUGUUUUGAUUGUUAAUUGUUGGGUUCUCAUCUGUGCUUAAGACCUUUAUCGUUUAACUCAUUCGAUAACUGAUGUUUGUCUUUAUUGAUACGGGGACGUACAAUAAUGUCAUGAACUGGUGAGUAAUUCCUUGAUUUUGCAAUACCACCUAGGGAUAGGGGUAGGACGAUCAAUUGCUUUUCACUUCUGCUCUGUAAUGCUGUAUUAAUUGCUAGGGGAGGCAAGGGAUAGCAAACCAGUAAUUAGUACUAGGCUCUUUUCGUCGAGGGAUUGGGUUAAGGGUAGGCUAAGAAAGUUGCAUGACAAAUAAUUAAUCAAACUAAUAAUUCAAGAGGAGUAAAUAAGAGAGUGUAGAUAAGAGGAAUUUGUAAACCCCCAACAAAUCCAUUCAUCCAUUGUUUUCCUUUUGUCAAUUGAAUCAAUCUAUAUUGCAUGUUAAUAUUUUUGUUCUCAAAUCAAAUUAAUUAUUUUUAUUUUCAAGUCUUAUUAUUUGAAUUCACGUGAACGAGAAAGCCUUUUGAGUCUCUUGGGAAGAACGAUAUUGGGUUUUACCAUUUAUUAUUACUUGAUACGAUUUGGUACGUUUGCUAGGAAGGCACACCUAUUGAUGAGUGUUGGAAGGAAUUGCACUUACUGACAAGUGCUAAAUAGGUUUGGGUCAGGCUCGUGACGUUAAACAAGCGCUACUAGGAGGCAACCUAGUUUUGUCUCUUUUACUUUUAUUUUAUUUCUUUUUAAAUUCCAAAAAUAGGUUGCAUUUUAAUUUUAGUGUGUAUCCUUGGCUUGAAAAUGUGUGACUGACUGAUGUGCAUGAUGGAGCUAUUUGAUAUUUAUUGGAUGUGGAUGAUAAUUAGGUUGUGUUGUAUAUGAAUAUUCAGUGAAACAGAUGUGUGAUAAAUUAUGAUUGUGGUCAUGAUGCUAGGCAGAGUGUAUGAAUGAAUUUUGUGUGAGAAAGCAUGUUAUGUGAGGUAUUGAGUUCUAGAGUUUUUAUUGUUGUAUGCAUUGUUCACAGGAAAACGUGAAUGAUAUUGCCUUAGUCUCAAUGAUUGAUUGAAUUGCAUGUGAAUGUCAUAUGAUCAAGGCCAUUUUUGAAAACCCUUCUCUAGCCAACUUUUCACCCAAAGUUCUUGAAAAUACUAUACCAUUUUUGCACCUUAGCCUUAAACAGGAUGUGAACCCUUGUCUCGAAAUUCUUUACCUUGAGUUGGGUGGAGCUUAAUUGUAUGCGAUGAAAAGGUUCAAGUUUGGGGUUGUAUGGGGGAAAUUGAAAGGCAAAUGAAAGGCAUUGAGCUCAAAUGUUGUGAAAAGAAAAAUUCAUGAGAAAAAGAAAAGAAAAGAAGAAAAGCAUGAAGAUGAGCUCAAUGAAAAAGAAAAAGGGAAAAAAGUUGGGAAUGACAGAAAUUGGUAAGGAAGAGAGUUGUGCUUAAAUGUUGAAUAUUUUGUUAGCUCUCUUGACUCAAGGAUUUUGCAUUCUAGAAAAACCAAUUCUUCUUGUUAGCCCAACCUCAUUACAAGCCUUGAAAAGUCCUUUUGAUGACAUUUGCAUCUAAGGAUUUUGAUUGUUUGAGAUGAAUGGCAAAUUUGUUUUAUGUGACUUGUGAAUAAUAGAGAGUUGGAGUGUCACCUUAAACACUUGAGUGAUUGAGUGAAACACUUGCUUGAUUUGAAUUGUUAAUUUUCAUGAGUACAUUUUUGCUUAGUGGAUUGGUCAUUCAUAAUGGGUAACAUCUGUUGUGCAAUCUUUGGAUUGAAAGCAUGCAUGCAUCUUAUUUUGGAUUUCACUGAAGAUGUUGAAGUGAGUAGUUUUGUCAUGUACCUAGGGACUGUUGAACCAUUGGAUGGAAGAGGAUAAACCCAAGUUUUGUUUUGUGUGUUAUUUUGUUUGCUUGAGGACAAGUGUUGACGGAUUGGAAAGCGUACCAAAUCGUUCAAGUAAUAUAAUUGGUAAAACCCAAUAACGUUCUUCCCAAGAGACUCGAAAGGGUUUCUCGUUCACGUGAAUUAAAAUAAUAAGACUUNAAAAUAAAAAUAAUUAAUUUGAUUUGAGAACAAAAAUAUUAACAUGCAAUAGAGAUUGAUUCAAUUGACAAAAGGAAAACAAUGGAUGUAUGGAGUUGUUGGGGGUUUACAAAUUCAUCUUAUCUACACUCUCUUAUUUACUCCUCUUGAAUUAUUAGUUUGAUUAAUUAAUUGUCAUGCAACUUUCUUAGCCUACCCUUAACCCGAUCCCUCGGCGAAAAGAGCCUAAUACUAAUUACUGGCUUGCUAUCCCUAGUCUCCCCUAGUAAUUAAUACAGCAUUACAGAGCAGAUGUUAAAAGCAAUUGAUCGUCCUACCCUUAUCCCUAGGUGGUAUUGCAAAAUCAAGGAACUACUCACUAGUUCAUGAGAUUACUGUAUGUCCCCGUAUCAAUAAAGACAAACAUUAGUUAUCGAAUGAGUUAAACGAUAAAGGCCUUAAGCACAGAUGAGAACCCAACAAUUAAUCAUUCAAAACAUAUGGAAACCAUAUGCAUAAUCAAGAGUUUCAAUAAAAGAGAGUAUCAAAAGAUUACAUUGUUUCCCCCAACAACAAUAGGGUCUAGUUCACCAUAGACAUGGUGAAACUAGAUGAAAAAUGGAAGAAGAAUGGAAAAGCAAACCCUAGAAAAGAUGAAAANGAGCCUAAGCAUCCAAGAGAUCCUCUCUAGAGAGCAAAAUUAGGUCUGGUCGUUCUCCCCUAUCAAAAGAAUGACUCUGAACUCGCGAUAGGGGUAUUUAUAGGUGAGUAGUGCAGCAGAAAACAGGCCCAAGCCCAACGGACCACCGCACGGCGGAAUAAGUGUGUCGCCCGGCGGUUUCCCAUAAGCCUCAAAAUCGCCCGGCGCUAAGGGUCACCGCCCGGCGGGUUCCCUCAAAACCGCCCAACGCCAACGCAAGUGCCUACUCCUCCACCUGGACCGCCCGACGGUGUAAGUUGCAGCCGGGCGGUGCGUUGACACUUCAAAUCUUCAAUUUUCUUCUCUUUUCUUGAGUCUACGGCCUUUAUCUUCAACUCCAUUCUUCAUUUUCUCAGAAAUGCUACAAAACAAUGCAAAACAAGCAUAAUAUCGCUAAAAACAGCUUUUGACUCUCUACAGACUCAUUUAUUGAGUUUUGCUUGAUUCUAAGCUCAUUCAAAGUAAUAAAGGGCGUAAUUAGGUCUAAAAUGACAUAUGAAAAUAAUUGUUUUUCAACCUUCAUCAACAAGAAAAAUGAAGAUUUGAAGAGUUGAAGAUUACAUUGUUCCCCAACAACAAAAGGGUUUAGUUCACCAUUGUCGUGGUGAAACUAGAUGAAAAAUAAUGGAAGAAUGAAAAAACAAACCCUAGAUUGGAUAAAAAGGAGCCUAAGCAUCCAAGAGAUCUUCUCCAAGCAGUGAAAACUAGGUCUGGCCGCCCCUUUCUGUCAAAAGAAUGCAUCUGAAGUCGCACUAGGGCUAUUUAUAGCUGAGGAGCGUCACAGAAUUUAGGCCCAAGCCCAACAGACAACCGCCCGGCGUCGCACUUUGGCGCCCAGCAGUUUCCCCAUAAUUGUGCCACCGCCCGGGGGUGAGUUCUACCGCUCGGCGGUUUGCUUCUAAUCGCAAAACCACCCGACUUCCCUGCCCGAGCGCCAGACAGUGGCUUCUCCUCACAUUUGGCCGCCCAGUGUUGGAUUUUGGCGCUGGGCGGUUCCUAGACUCUUCUUUUCUUCAUGUUUCUUCUUCUUUCUUGAGUCUAAGACCUUCCAUCUUCAGUCCCAUUCUUCAUUUUCAUCAAAAACGCUGCAAAAUAAUGAAAAACAAGCAUAAUAUCUCUAAAACAACUUUUGACUCUCAACCGACUCAAUUUACGUGUUUUUCUUGAUUCUAAGCCCAUUCUAAGCCUUAAAGGGUGUAUUUUGAUCUCAAAUGAAGCAUGAAAAUAAUUGUUUUUCAACCCUUAUCAAUAUGCAAUCCAUUGUUGAAAAAGGAACCCUUCUUUCUUGAUAUGCAAUUCAUUAUUGAUACUUGCGAGGAACUACAAUUUUUAUAACUCUCUAGAAUAAAAACUUUCCUCGGAUCUCUUCAUCACUUAUCCAUCCAGAUGGGUUUGCGUUUCUAGUAACCCGAGCAACUUUCUCUUUUCUUCUUGGUGAUGAUGAUGAAGAAGCCAUGUUUGAAUAGAAUUCUCAAAAUGUCUUUCACAAUCUAGAGUUUUUAACUUAUGAACUUCUUAGCUUUUUAAAAAAAUACAAGGGAUACGUCGAAUUCUACAGAUAUUGGACGUUUUCUUCUUCAGCUUCGCGCUUUUUCGUUUCUUUGUUUCCUUUAUAACCUCCCAUAACCUUACCAUUAUAUUUUAAGAUAAGAUUUACAUUUUCUUUUAUAUUUUUAUAUUAUAAGUUUGUGUAAAUUUAUCUUGUAACAUUUACAUAUUAUAAAAUAUAAGAAACACUACAAGAAAAACUGAAUUUAUCUACCGAUAAUUAUAUGCGGAUUUUAAUUCGUAUGUAAUAUAAGUAUUACAUACGCAUUUUAUAUACGGAUUCAGUAAGUGAAUUAUAUACGGAUUUUUAUCUACCGAUAAUUCGUAUGUAAAAUCCGUAUAUAAAUAAGGCGCUUUGUGGUGGGAAAGUUUUCCAAGAAUUGAAUCUAUACGUAAUGAAAUUAUAUAUGGAUCUGAAAAAGAUUUAAUUAAGAAAAAGAUAAUGAGGUAUUCAUGAAACCUUAUCGCCCUACUUUACUCUACUUUCAUUGUUUCUUCUCUCUAAGCAAAGAACAAUCUCCCUUCGGCCUCUCACAAUUUCUCAACGAAGCACUUGUGUUUGAUGGGUGUUCGGCCUGUUGAAUCUGAAGAUAAGAAUGACUUUGAAUGUGCUCUAUGAGAGAAUGAGUUUUAUUAAUGCAGAAGAGUUGGCUUAUAUAAUCCUUACAUGACAGGAAAAAUAGACUAUAAUAGAGCCACUAUCUAAAUGGCUACAAAAGCGAAGUAAAAAACUCAACUAUCUUCUAAAUAAUAGGACAAUCUAAUAGCUCUUUAAUAUUGGAGCUUUAUUAACAGACACGCGUAAAUUAACUGACACACGUAAACAAUAAUUUGACUAACAUUCCCUCCCUAAGCUACAUGCCUCUGUUGCAUUUAGCUUACUUAAGUGGCUUUCAUAACUCCAAGCAUGCUUCGAAUCCUUUCAAAUUGAUCAAGUUUCAGAGGUUUGGUCAUAAUGUCCGCUACCUGUUCAUUUGAACUGCAGUAUGCUAGGUUGACUACUUGAUCAUUCACCAAUUCUCUAAGAAAAUGGAAUCUCACUGUAAUAUAUUUGCUUCUUCCGUGGAAAACAGGAUGUUUUGACUGUUGGAUAGUAGAGCUGUUGUCACAUAAUAUUUUUGUGUCCUUCUUUUCUUUCGAACCCAGGUGUUCUAAGAUUCUUCUAAGCCAGAUACAUUGACAUGCAUAGAGAGCUGCAACAAUAUAUUCUACCUCCGUAGUCGACAAACUUACUAUAGGUUGCUUUUUCAAAGCCCAUGAGACAGCUGCAGACCUAAUUAUGAAUACUGAGCCAGAUGUGCUUCUUCUACCAUCUAAAUCUCCUGCAUAAUCACUGUCACUGUAAGUUGUGAGACCACUUUUACCUUCCUUUUUAUAAAAUAAGCCAUACUCGGUGGUCCCCUUAAGAUACCUUAAGAGUCUUUUGGUUGUUGCCCAAUGUGACUCCUUUGGGUUAGCCAUGAAUCUGCUUAUCAAAUUUACUCCAAACAUCAAAUCUGGUCGAGUUACUAUCAAGUACAUGAGACUUCUGAUGAGUCAAUAUUUUUUUGACUUCACUUGAGUCAAUAUUUAUUGUGCUAGAAUUAAUCAGGGAAUUGUGCUUAAAUGUCCGGUAUUUUCUCGUUUUUGCUAAUUGCGCUUAAUUUGAUCAGAAAUUCUUAUUUUAAUUAAUUUGAAUUAUCUGAUACUAAUUAUUUGCAUUAUUAAUUGUAGGGAAAGUAUUGGUUAAUAUUUUGGGACAUUUGGAGAGCUGUCGCAUAAUUUAAAACUCUCAACAAAAGAAGUGUGUACAAGAAGGGUAGUAUGGGGAUUUUACACUUUGGGCUUAUGAAAAAGGAGGUGUGGAUUUCAUAUUUGGUGGUGCACAUGGAAAAGAGAACAUGCUGUUCAGCAGAAGCAGCACAUGCCAUGGCCCAGAAAUUUAAAUAGCUGCACAUUCACUUUAGCUUUUCUUUAUUUGGUGAAAGCAUUCGGCUGCAUGGAGUGUGUGCACGGCCAUACAUUUUUUUCCUGCAGCAGCUACACGCAUUUGGGCUUGGAGGUGUCACAGUCUUGAGCUACAUCGGUCCAACAUUAAACCAUGCACAUGUAUAGCAAGCAAACGGGCCCAGCUUGGGAGAUGCAAUGUCCACCAACACAUCAAACUUUCAUUCACAAGCAUGCUGCAGCUGUGAGGAGGUGUACACGGGUUGGCUGGAACACGAGUCCAGUUGAAGCAUCUCAUAUGGUCUUACAUGCCACGGCCUGCACCCAUUUAAUUCUUCAUACAACAAUCCAAGCACCAUACAGCUGAUUCCAAUUAACACACUCCUUCACGUGGGCUUCACACGGACAACAACCACAUGGAAGAAACGGCCCACCUGCAGCCUCCACGGUCCAUGCGCUUGGGUUUGGUGGUCCAGCAACCAGCAGAAAAUAUGGAGGUGCGUCCAGCAAGUUCUCGGCCUGCACAUGCACCUCAAUUCCGGAAGCAGCAGAUCCACAUGCAUCCACAUCCCAGCUACCACACAGCACACGCAUCCAAGCUUGCUCCUCCACGUGAAGCAGAAAAAUAUGUGCAGCCCAACACAUCCACCAAGCAGGUCUCAGACAGGAAUUGGAAAGCUGAUUUUAUUCAAUUGAAGCGGUGCAAAAGGCCAACACGUGGUGGUAGCAGAGCUCGGUCCAGCAAGCUUAAAGUUGCAGCCCACGUAACAGCAUCACCAUCCAGCUUUAGAGGUGCACAUGAAGAAGAUUGCUGCCCACACAGCUCUACGGUCAGGCCUCCACGUUGGCAUAGAAGAAGCAGCUGCACACACGGCCCAUGAUAUGGUUUUGAAGCUGGACGGUGCAUGGUUUUAGAAGUGGAGGUGUCAUGAAUAAGAUGACACCAGCAGCCCAUGGACAUCACUUGGCAGUAAGGCCUCAGUUGGAGAUCCCAACAUUUGGAGAAGCAACUUGGCAGCCACAUGGGAGAUGCAUCUAGCAAGAAACACAUUGCAUGCAGUAGCUCCACAUCUACAUGGUCCAACUGCAACCCUUGUGUAAUAAGAGUGUCCAGCGUUAAAGGUAGUAGCUGCAAUGGAGAAAGGAGCCUAUUAUCAAAAUACUACAUCCAAAGUAAACGGUGCAACCAGAAAAGAAGCAGCACAUCACAACCCAACUAAAGGGAGAGCAGCUUCCUUCCAAAAUUGUCUUUGGAGGUGCACGCUUCUAGAAAAAAAAAAAGAGAGCUCCAUGGUCUGGGCACAUGCGCUGAUGAUGGGCUGAAGUGUCUUGGCCUGUUAAAAUGAAAAAGGUUGGACCGUGUAGACUUUGAGGUGAGCGUCCCACACACGGGCCAAGCACCAGCAGCGACACUCUCCAUCUUAACAUGCUCCACGCAUCCAACAUGCUUCUUCAUGGUCCAGCAAUGCAGGUGCAGUAAGAAUUUUGAAAGAAGCCCACGGUCCUGCAGGAAGAGAGCCACAUGUGUGCUUAAAGAGAGGGUAGCCACUAUAUAAAAAGACAUGUUACCCUAGGGGAGAUUCCUAGGACCAUUCAGUCGUCACUUAUUUUGCAUGCUACUGUUAGGCUUGGCCGGAACGUUGCUGGAUUUGGAGUUUUUCUUUAAGUUGUUGGAUUUUGGUUGAAUGGAAGGAAGCUAGCUGCUGUCACGGUGAUGAAAAAGGGAUGUAGCCGUCACACAGAGGAAGGGAUAUACGUUUUCAACUUGAAAUGGAUUAUUUUGCUGCAUCCAGCCACCACCCCACUUAGUUAGUUUUUAUUUUAUGAUUUUCAUUGUUGGAAUGGUGAGCACGGAAGUACAGUAGUCACCAUAGAAUGAGUUUUUUACAUUGAACUUUUCCUUGAGAAUGUAGCACUGAAGUUUAAUUUAUUUUCUGUUUUUCUGCUUACUCGUUCGUGCUUCAAUGCUCAUUAUUACUGUCAUCUUUAUUUAAAAAAAAAGAAAGAAAACACCACAUUAAUUUGGUUUUGAAAAAGAGGAUGCGUGAGCAUGCAUUGCUGGAGUGAAAAGACCAUUUUCUAGCUUUUAGAACGGCGACACUCAUUUAAUUGCUCUGAUUUUAUUUAGAAGGAAGAACUUAAUUUUUCUUUUAGAAAGCAUGCACACGGUAACUAAUAUUUUGGGAGAAAAGAAAUUCAUUUUCAUUUCUUUUGGAAGCUACGGUCAAGGGUGAAAAGGUGGUGAUUCCGUUUUGCAAAUUUCAAAUUUCAUUUCAAUGUGCAUUUUAUUUUUAGUUCAAGCUUUGCAUUUUAAGAGCUUUAAUUAUGUCUGGAUAUUCGUCUAUUGCAGUGUUAGGUUUAUCAUUUUCAUUUACUUUAAUGUAAUCCAUUAUGUUUGAUAGUGAUAAUUUAACUGUCAUGUUAGCUUAAGUUAGUCGAGUUGGUUGUUAAUAAAGUUACUUUGCUUCCCUGAGACUUUUGAACUUUAAUUGUCAUACUGCUGCUUUGAUUCUGCUCAAUAUUCAAUCUGUUGUCUGUCUGCGAUUAGGUAUACGCUUAGUUGCCUAAUCGAUGUCAAUUCUCCGCUUAGUUGAUUAGACUGUAUGGUGGAUGAUUGAUUAAUUUGUGCAUUGCAUUCGCUUAGUCUGUAAGUUUGAAGACCGAAUUAGCCUUCGCUUAGUUGGGUGAUUCGUGUCGGAUUUGGAUUAGAGUAGCGUGUACUUGUCCUUGAUCUGUGAUUGGAAGCAUUGUAAUUAAGUUAAUGACCAACCGCUUUUAUUCUGUGCUUGAUUCCGUUUUUACAUUUCUGUUUGCAUCAACGUUUUAAAUUUAAUUCAUCUGUAGUCCCAAACCUUUCACAACCCCUCCCCCCACCUUUGUGUCUGACCUAAUUCUCGAACCACAUUUGGUCCUUGAGAGACGACCUAGGAGUCAUUUCCUAGGCUAUACUGCAUUCUUUUAUGCUCAUUAAAUUUUGCAUGGGGUGCGACACCCAUCAACUUCCAAUUACUUGUCUGAAUUUAGUUGCAUCUACUGCAACACCAUUUUCAUCCUUUGAAAGCAUGGUACUUGGAACAAUAGGAUUCCUUACAGGAUUACUAUCUGCCAUGUUGAAUUUGGCUAGAACCUCACGGGCAUAUCUUCUUUGACAAAUAAAAAUCCCAGCAUUACUUUGUAUGACUUCUACACCAAGAAAGUAUCUCAUUUUUCCCAAAUCAGUCAUGUCAAAUUCCGGCAUCAUUGAACUUUUGAAUUCCUCACACAUGUUCCUAUUGUUCCCAGUAAAGAUUAAAUCAUCAAGAUAAAGGCUAACUAUUAAAAUAUUACCAUUAUCCUUUUUGGUGAAUAACAUGUGUUCACUGGAGCAUCUUCCAAACUGUUCCUUUGCAAAAUAGGCUUCAAUUUUGCUAUACCAUGCUCUUGGUGCUUGUUUAAGCCCGUAUAAUGCUUUCUUUAACCUGUAUACUUGAUCUUCUUUUCCUUUCUUGAUGAAACCUGCAGGCUGCUGGAAAAAUAUUUCUUCUUGGAGGUCACCGUGUAGGAAUGCGCUUUUUACGUCUAGUUGAAACACUUCCCAACCACUUUGAGCUGCCAAAGCUAAUAAUACCCUCACAGUAUCAAGUCUAGCUACUAGUGCAAAUACCUCUGUGUAAUCGACUCUAUAUUUUUGGGCAUAACCUUUGGCCACUAAUCUGGCCUUAUGCUUUUCAAUAUUGCCACUUUCGUUGAAUUUCUUCUUAAAAAUCCACUUAACUCCAAUGGGUGUAAUACCUUUUGGAAGAACAACAAGCUCCCAAGUGUUGUUCCUUUCAAUUGCUUUCAUCUCUGCAUCCAUCGCUUCCCUCCAUCGCUUGCUUUUACAUACUUCUUCGAAGGAAUGUGGAUCAUCAACGUUAGUUGCUAUCAUUGCCAUGAAGUUUUCUUCUUCGGCUUCUAUUGAUAGAUUGGUUUCAAAAUCAGCCAUCCAUGUAGGUUGUUUCUGUAAUCUUUCACUUGUUCUUGUUGCCCUCCCUUCAACUUGAUUAUCCGCUGUUUCAUGUUGUAUAGGUUCUGCGUCUUCUUGUUUUGCCUCAGGUUCUGUGUCUUCUUGUUCUGCCUUGCUUUCCUUUUCUUCCCAAUCAAGGAUCUCUGCGUUAUCUUUUUCUACAUGUUCGUGCCAAUUCCAGCUUUUCUCUUCUUCAAAUACUACAUCUCUACUCACAAUGACUUUCUUUGGGAUGGGGUCAUAUAGUCUGUAGGCUUUUGACUCAUCACUAACACCCAAGAAGACACAUUUUUUGCUCUUGUUGUCUAGCUUACUUCUUUUCUGAUUUGGAAUAUGAGUGUGUGCUACACAGCCAAAUAUUCAAAAAUAGUCAACACAUGGCUUUAUGCCGCUCUAGACUUCUUUUGGAGUAUGCUCCUCUACUGUAGCAGUUGGACUUCUGUUUUGAACAUGUACACACCACCGAACUGCCUCGGGCCAGAAAGAUUUUGGAACCUGCUUCUCGUGUAACAUUGCUCGUACAACGUUCAAGAUGUUUCAAUUUUUGCGUUCAGCGACUCCAUUUUGUUGGGGAGUGUAGGCAGCCAUCAAUUGCCUGGAGAUACCCUGAUUAUUGUAGAAUUCAACAAACUCCUUAGAGGUGAAUUCACCACCUCUAUCUGUUCUUAAGCAUGAAAUGUAGGUACCCACCUCCUUUUCCACCCUAGUUUUGAAGCUUUUGAAGACAUUGAAGCUUUCGGAUUUUUCGUGCAAAAAAUAAACCCAAACUUUCCCUGAGUAAUCAUCAAUGAAGGUUAGAAUAUACCUUUUAUUACUGUGUGAGGAUGGUGUGAUGGGACCGCAAAUGUCUGCAUGGAUUAACUGAAGCUUCCUUGAGGCCUUCCACUUGCUUUGCUUUGAUAUGGAAUCUCGUUGUUGUUUUCCAACAAGACAAGUAGUGCAAAUCGUUUUGGCAAACUUCAGAGAGGGGAGUCCAAGCACCAUUUGUUUGCUUGCAAGAGUGCUUAACCCUUUGAAAUUAAGGUGCCCGAAGCAACUAUGCCAUAGUUGAGUUUGCUUUUCAAUAUCAUCAACAGCUUGGAAGCACAUGGGGUGUAGUGAUGCAUAAUUAAGCCUUUAUCUGGGUGGAAUAUCUUGCACGUGCCAUUUUGAAUUAGAAUGGCUAAACCCUUCUCUUGAAGUUGCCCUAUGCUCAGAAGAUUUGUCUUAAUUUCAGGAACAAGAUAGACAUCUGAUAUUACAUGGGAGAUGCCAUUAAUUUGCACUCGAAUGUUUCCUUUUGCAACCACGGCCAUUGUGCUGUCAUUUCCUAAUUUAAGAGUUUUGUUAAAUCCUUCUUCUAUGUCUACAAACCAAUGUUUGUUUCCAGUCAUAUGAUUACUGCACCCCGAGUUAAGAAACCAAUCCUCUUCUUGUACAGUUUGUGGUGACUCUUCAUACGCCACUAACAGAACUUCUUCUUCUGCCUCCUCAAGUGCAAAGUUGGCUUUCCUUAGGUCAUAUGUUCUCUAGGUUUGUAAGAUAGGCUGUUUUCUUUUUCAACUUGCUUUUCUAAACAAGAACCUACUAAGUGAGAAUUGAAGUGGAUGAAUCUUUUACUCUUGUGACCAUUGUAAUUUGUACUCCAUUCUAUCCAACCUUAGCAGUGACAGGAAAAGGUCCAAACACUGAUCCAUAAUUUGUGUUGUCUGUUGCCUAAUUUUCUCUUUAGAUUGUUUAUUCCUUACUAUUGGGGUACUCUGUUUUUUGUUGUUUGGGGUCCUCUACUAUUUUAGAUUUCAUAAAGUUAACAAAGUAGUGAUUUAAAUAUAGAAAUUUAAUUUUCUCUUGAACUUUUAUGUUUUCAUGAAAUGUUUAUUGUAAAAAGACUGGGAACAUAACACCAAUAUUUUACCAACUUCAGUAAAGAAAUAGUGAGUUCUGAAGCUAUUGAAGUCUCGUUUAAAUUGGGCAUCUACUGCUUCCUUAUGGAAGCAAAGCCAAAACCCAACUUUUCGGUAUUAAACCUUUUGCUUAAGAACUUGCUUUUAAUGAGUGACCAAAAUUAAUAUAAAAUACUAAGAAAUAAAACCUGUUGUCAUACAUGAGGUAGGAGUCAUGAAAUUUUUGUAAUAAUCAUUAAUUAAUGUUGUGUUUCAAUUUUCAACAUUUUAGAUAUUGGAAUAAUGUAAAGAAGAUGAACAAUUUAGAGCAUCUGAGGUAAAUGGAAGAAUCAAUACGAGAAUCAAUCAAUCGAGUUGGCCUAGAGAAGGUAAGACUUUGUUUCAUGUGUAGACUAGCCAUAUUGCCAUGUCAUCUUUAAAUGACCACUAACCAGGUAGUAAAUGUUGUUCUUUUUCUUUGUUAAUAUUUCUCGUUCAACUUUUCAAUAUUUUCUAAGGGUCAUGUGUCCUUAAAAAUUAGGGUGGGGUCCACCCUAAAAACCCUAAAGUUGUCAGGUGUCUUUUUACUAUUUGGGCCCAUCAUCUUUUUGUCAAAAAUUGGCCCAAUGUGCACAAGCUUGUCUAAAAAGUUUAAACAAUUAAAAUUACAAUGCAACUAAAAUUUAAAAUGUCUAAAUGGAGAGUCUUGAAUUUAUUUGGUGUCCUCCAAAUGUCCUAAAUUGUGUUUCCAAAAUUUUCCCUGAAAAUAAUAAUGCAAAUAAUUAGCUCAGAAAAUUCAAAUUAAUUAAAAUUAGAAUUUCCNGUCAAAUUAAGCAUAAUUAGGAAAAACGGGAAAAUACCGGAAAAUUAAGCACAAUUCCCUGAUUAAUUCUAGCACAAUAAACUAAGUGAAAUCAAUAAAAUAUCGACUCAUCAAAAUAGACCACACUUAGUCUUUUGCACUCCUGGGCAAAAUCAAGACGCAAAUGAGGGAACAGUUCAACGGACAUUAGGGAAUUGACACAGACUCAACACGCAUAAAACAAAGACUGACAAGGAAAGAAACAAACAGAAUUACAAUCCUCAAGAAAUCCGGACAAGGAAAAAGGAAGUAGAUAGUAUCCAACACAGAAUCAGAAAAAGCAGAUACUUAGAGAAAUCAUCCAAGCAAUUCAAAGCAUGGCAAAAUGAUCAAUCCGCUCAAGAGGUGAAUCAAAAGCAACAGAACCUCACAGAUGCACACAAUCAGUGUUUCUCUCAAGUGUCUAAGGUAAACAGUGUCAACUCAAUGCACUCAAGAAAGCAAGCAACAAUAGUCUUGGCAAGUCUCUAAUAUCAACACUUAAAACAUAUGCAUGUUCAAAUCAAAAGGUCUUUUAUGGAUGUAAUGGGGCCAAGGAAAAGGGAGGAUAAAUAUGGAUAAGAAGCUACAAACCAAAAGAAAUAGAGGAGCAAUGGGGAACAAGUGUAAACACAGUCAAAUAACACCCAAACCCUCUAAUGCAAUCCUCUUCUUGACUCCAUCAUUCACACAAAUUUUUUUAAUUUUUCUCUUUUUUUUUGUAUUUUUUUCUUUUUUUUUCAUCUUGUCUCUUUUCUUUUCUCUCAAUAUUGGACAUAACUCUAAGAGAAAAGAUACACCAUGUAUUUACAAAAACACAAACAAGAAGAGGAACCAAUCUAGACAAUUCAUCAGAAUCCCUAGGGAGACAACACUUAUUCCCAAAACAAUUCCAAAGCUCCAAAAUUCCCUAAGGUUAAGGUAAACAUGGUUUUUCACUUAGGGCUAGUGUAUAAGCUUCAAAACAAAGAAAUGGGGAAAGCAUAGGCUCAAAGGGGCUAUCAAAGGAUCAAAACAGGGUAGGCUCAUCUGGCUAGAGAGGCUUAACAACAAAACUGCCUUAAUCACUUUCAAACAUGCAUAUCCAUCGAGAAUUAUCAAAAAGAGUCAAGCCAAAGCAUAUGUGCAAGCAAUCAAGAGACAUAUCACACAUAAGAAAGAUCAUCAAAUGGCUCAAAUCUCUCACAAGGUAAUUGUCACAAUCAAAUCAACCUCUCAAACAUCAUAAUCAUCUUUCCAAGCAAAGAAAAACAAGGGUUUAAACAAAUCAGAGUAUCAAUGAAGUGAAAGAUAAAUCUACAACCUAAACCAAGUCCAGAGAUCACAAGAAACAUGUAAAACUAUACACAAGACAAAACAAAAUCUACCUAGAAAACAUAAAAUUUAACGCAGAAAAACAAAAACUAACAAAGAAAAAUCAGAGUGUCCCCAAAUAAAUAGACCACACUUAAACUACACAGUGUCCUCAAUGUGUCACAAGCAUAACAUCAACAAUCAAAACAGACUACAGAUCAAGACAAGUGAAAUAGAAGUUAGGAAAAGAGGAGAAGAAGGGAAAAGAAAACUCCCCUGGUCAUGGUGGUAGUUGCCAAUUUUGGACUUUUAGGGCGAUGUCUUCCACCACAGGAUUCAGCAAGGAGGUGUUGAGGAAGAACUGCUUCAUCCUCCAGAUUUGAUCGAGCAGGGAGAUAUCCUCCACAAUUGGAUCUAAGAAGAAAGGACUGUUGAUGAGCAGGUUCAGGUGGUGCCUAUUAAUCUUUAAACUGUCCACACCUUUGUCUUCCACCAUGGGUGUGUGUUGAUCAAACUCAUGUGUACCUCCUGCAACAUGGUUAGUGCAAUAUGGUUCCACAGAAAUAACAUGCAGGGGUAUAACACCCAAUCCCAGUGUAAUAGGCUGAACCUCAAAUAAACCCUCAAAACAUGAAUCAAUUUCAAAUGUAGAAACAAUAUCAACAACAGUCUCAGAUUCAUGUUCAUUGCAUGGAGAACAAACAUUCAAAUGUGAUAUCAAAUAGUGGUUCUCAUCUUGCAGAGAGGUAGAAUUAAAAUCAUGCUCAUCAACAAUAUAAUCAUCAACAUAUCAUCAGCAUAAUCAUCAACAUCAGAAUCAAUCAUAGGUAUGUUUACCUCCGCUUCACUGAAGAUUUGUAGAGUGGUGGAAGGUGAAGCAGGUCUACCUAUCUCAAAAGUGUUGCUCAUAUCUGCCUGGUCCUCCAAAUCUUCUUCAGUCUCCUCAAGUGCAAGAGUAGGGGCAUAGGAGGAUGGGAAAGUAGGUGGCGCAAUAGUAGAUUCAUGACUAUGCUCCUCAUCUCCUAUGUGGAUGGCAUCAACAUCAUCUGGAAGCUGAACAGCCUGAAAUGGUGAUUCCUCUGAAACAUAAGACUGUUCCUAAGUGAGCUGAGUGGCCAUCUGCCUACUGAAACUACAUGUUCAUUUGCUGGAACUGAAUGUUCUGAAUAGUCAUCUGCUCUAAUAACUCCUUUAAUGUAGGCUCAAAAGUAGAAGGUUGAGGAGCUAUUUGGGGAGGAGCAUCAUAUUGCUGACUCUGGUAUUGCUGGACUGGUGGAGGCAUAGAAGUAUUCUGAGAUGGUUGAUAUUGUUGUGAAGCGUCAUACCAUCCCAAGCUAGGGUCAUUCCAUCCAGGAUCGUUGUUGUAACCAUACUGAGCAUGGAAGAAUUCAUCAAGAACAUAUGCUUAAUAUCUUCCCAACAAGUGAUGGAUUCUGGAGGAAGACCAUAAAAUCAAUCCCUUGCUUCUCCUUGUAGUGAAUGCGGAAAUGCCCUUAAAAACAUGUGAUCAUCAAGGUGAGGAGGUUUCAUUAAAGAGCAAAUGGUGUUGACUCCUCCCAAUGUCUGUGAGGGCAUUCACCUGCAAAACCAUGAAACAUAGGCAGCAAAUGUGUUAGUCCAGAGGUGAGAACGAAAUGAACAUCAUCCUCAUGAAGUGAAAUUGGCUCCGAAAGAGCACUCUCAUGAGUGGGAGGAUGAGUCAUAUUGUUCUCAGCAAAGAAAUCAACAGAGUAUACAUCACAAUCAUCAGAGUAACAUCUAGAAGGAGAAUCAUGAUCAUAGGCACUGACAGAAUAAGCAUUAUUCAUAGAAUCAAAAUAGGUAGACAUGUAGAAAAAGGGGGGGAGGAAAGAAGAAUGGAAUGAAAAUAUGCAACUAAAGCUAUCUAAAUGCAACACACAUGACACGACAUACAAGACGGAACAACACACUCACAACACGAGACAAAACACAACACACACAAACACAACAAAAGACCUAAAACCAAAAUUUGAUGGGUGUCGCGGCCCAUACAAAUUUGAUUGCAUAUGAAAAAUGCAGUAUAGCUAGGGAAUGACUCCUAGGUCGUCUCUCAAGGACCAAACUACGAUUCAGAAAUUUAGGUCAAACACACACAGUGGGGGGGGUUUUGGUGAAAGUGGUUUCGUGAAUGCAAUUAUACUAAAUUAAAAAUAAAAAUUAAACAUGUCCGAACAUCAUUGAAAGCAUGAAAGAGAGUGAAAAUGCUAAACCUAACACUGUAAUAAACAAAUAUCCAAACAUAAUUAAAAAUAUUAAAGUGCAACACUAAAUUAAAGAGAUUAAAAGCAACUCAAGAUACUUCGUAAAAUAUUUAAAAGCAAAAGAAAUAAACAAACAUAAAUUUCUUCUACCGUGACUACAUGUGCAUCUACUAAAGAAAUUAAAUUGUAAAUGGACUAAAAUUAACCUCUGGGCCGUGACCUCCCCUUACAACAAAACCAUUUCAUUUUCUUAAUUGUAAGUCUCAAUUAUUAAAGCUAGAAUUGGUUCCAGCCGUGACACUCUUCCUCCUCGUGAAUGAUCACUUGUUCCAAGGAAAUUGAAUGUUUCUCCAAAGAAAUAAAAACCACCGAAUGUGACCCCUGCAGCUGCCAAUGUAUGGACACAUUACAGCAGCACAUCUCCCUUUUAUCCACCAUUAAAAAUUGCCAACAUUGUUCCCAUCCAGAGCUAAUGAAUAAAACGUCCCAAAGCUAAAUAAAGAAAGAGUGUAGGCUGCUGCAAAGUGAUGGACGUCCCAUCCUUUCUUCAAAAUAAAAUUAAUCUACCAAUAAUUGCUUACUUGACUGCUGGUGGUACCUUUUCCAUUGAACAAAAGAAAUAAAAUGCUACCCUACCAAGCGUCACAUCACCAAGGAAAUAAAAAUGCUACUUAAUUAGCUCCAAACAAAACUGACGCUGCACCCCUUUUAGCAAUCAAAUUCGCCAAUCUUCGUAAGCUACUUGCUGCAGCGCUGCACCAUUCUUUUCAAAUCACCAUUUCAUCAAUUUUCUAAAAAGCAAAAUAAAGAAGCUACAUGUAGCAGUUGUCACUGUCCAGAAUUGUCACUCCUUGACUUGCCUCCCAUCAAUCAACACCGGCAGCAAAUGCAAGAAGGGAAUAAGCUUACAUAAAUGCAUUCAAAUGAAAAUAAAACACUUUUUAUAUUCAACAAAUGAUACCACCGUACUGCAAUGAUAGUUUCAAGAAAAAAAUUAGUUCAACUUGAACACAAAAUAAAAAGGUAAGGAAAAUGUGCUUUCUUCAUUUCAUCAGAAAAACCGUGAGCCCUUCCAAAAGCUAUCCAAGAAAAUGUUCAAAAUAAAAAAGAUAAAAGCAAUGGAGUCCCUCUGCCACGUUCUAGCAAAACGAAAAUAAUGAAAAAAAAUCCUCUCAAGCAAAUGAUGGUUGCAGCUUGUAAUCCAUUCAACCAAAAUAAAAAAUUAGCUCCAUGGGAAAAGAAAAUGUUCAAAGCCUAGUGGUGCCCUCCAAAAUCUGCCGAGAAUGCUCCUUGCAAUGUGACAGCUAGUGCCAUUUUCUAAGGGUCAUGUGUCCUUAAAAAUUAGGGUGGGGUCCACCCUAAAAACCCUAAAGUUGUCAAGUGUCUUUUUACUAUUUGGGCCCACCAUGUUUUUGUCAAAAAUUGGCCCAAUGUGCACAAGCUUGUCUAAAAGGUUUAAACAAUUAAAAUUACAAUACAACUAAAAUUUAAAAUGUCUAAAUGGAGAGUCUUGAAUUUAUUUGGUGUCCUCCAAAUGUCCUAAAUUGUGUUUCCAAAAUUUUCCCUGAAAAUAGUAAUGCAAAUAAUUAGCUCAUAAAAUUCAAAUUAAUUAAAAUUAGAAUUUCCGAUCAAAUUAAGCAUAAUUAAGAAAAACGGGAAAAUACCGGACAAUUAAGCACGAUUCCCUGAUUAUUUCUAGCACAACAAACUAAGUGAAAUCAAUAAAAUAUUAACUCAUCACUUGUGAACUUUGGGCCAAUUUUGACAAAAAUAUGAGGGGCCCAAAGAGUAGGAUGACACUUGUCACCCUAGGGAACUAACAGUUGUCACACUCUCAUUUUUCUGAUAUGGUUGGAAAGUUUAUGGUUUUGGAAGGAGCAUUUUUCUUUAAACAUGGCUGCAGUGCUUGAUUUUGGAUGAAUGAAGAAUCAAUUGUUUGAUUUUUAUUUUGUGAGUGCACGAUGAUAAAAGAUUUCUUCCAGCACAUUUCAUUUUCUUUUGGGUAGAAGAAGCACACUUUUCACUUUCUUUCACGAUACUGAUUGGUGGGAGACUUGGAGAGGACGUUCCAAGAGAGCUGGCAACCGAGUGUGUAGAGUUUUGUGGUUUCAUUUUACUUGUAGAAUGCAAAGUAUAUUAGGUGGAGUGUAUGAUGAUGGGACGUUGAUGGCUGCAAGAAGCAAUGUAAUCCCUUUUCUUUUAGAAAGAAGUAAAUAGGUUAUUUGAUGGGAGUUGGUCAGCAAGGCAUCUACGACCUUGAAUUUUAUUAUGCUUUUAAGUGAUUUCAUUUCAUUGCAUUUGUCAGAGCAGCACAUGAUGGCUUGAGUGGUGUUGAUUGAUUGGCUUAUGUUAUGGCUGAAACCAUUGCUCAUUUUAUUUGAUUUAGAAAUAGUGAAAAGAUUCAUUGCUUGGUGAAAUGGUGCAGCUGCAACUCACGGGAGAAGCAUAUUCAUUUUUCAUUUUUUUUAGUUUGAUUCCAGCACCGUGCUAAAAGAAUUACGUCCAGGGAGAAUUGAUUUUUAUCAUCUUUGCAGGGCACACACGUGAUUGAUUCUUUCUUUCUUUGAUGAAGAAAGUGGUGAUUUUCUUUUAUAUUCAUUUUCAACUUGGGAAAGGCACGACUGCCACAUCUUGUUUUAAGAAUUAGAAAUUCAGUUUUCAAUAUGAAAAGGAUGAUUUCAAUUAGAGAAGAGGUGGUGCCACGACUUGAUCCUGUGGUGAAUUGGUUUUACAAUUUUCAAGCUUCAUUUCAAUGUGCAUUCUAUUUUUAGUUAAAGCCUUGCAUUUUGAUAGCUUUGAUUAUGUCUGGAUAUUUAUUUAUUGCAGUGUUGAGUCUAGUAUUUUAUUUUGUUUAAAUGUUGUCUAGUAUGUUUGGUAGUGUUAAUUUAAUUGUCAUGAUAGCUCAAGUUAAUUUGGUUAGUCAUUAAUAAAAUUGCUUUGUUUCCUUGAGAUUUCUUGGACUGUUCUUCUGUUUAUUCUGCUCUGCCUGACAUUCUAUGAAAUAUGACUGUGUUCUUGCAAUGGGUAUACGCUUAGUUGCCCAAUUGGUGAUUGUAUCUUCUCUUAGUUGAUCAAUCUGUAUAGAACACAUCCGAUGGAAUAGGUGUGUUGCGUUCACUUAGUACGCGAUUAUGAUAGCAUGAUUAACCUUCGCUUAGUCGGUUAGCUGUGCUGGAUUAGAGGCUAGAGCAGUUUAUUCAUGAGACUCUUGCACUUAAAUUGUCAUACUACUGCUCUGAUUUGGCUCAAUAUUUAAUCUGUUGUGUGCUUACGAUUGGGUAUACGCUUAGUUGCCUAAUCGGUGUUUAAUCUUCGCUUAGUUGAUUAGACUGUAUGGUGCAUGACUGAUUAAAUUUGUGCAUUGCAUUCGCUUAGUUUGGAAUUUGAAGACUGAAUUCGCCUUCACUUAGUUGGGUGAUUCGUGUCGGAUUGGAUUAGAGUAGUGUGUACUUGUCGUUAAUUUAUGAUUGGAAGCAUAGUAAUUAAGUUAAUGACCAACCGUUCUUAUUUUGUAUUCAUUUUUGUUUUAACAUUUUUGUUUACAUCUGUGUUUACAUUUUUGUUUGCAUCUGUGUUUUAAUUUGAUUCAUCCGCAUUCACAAACCUUUCACAAACCCCUCCCCCCUACUUCGUGUGUGACCUAAUUCUCGAACCGCAAAAUUGGUCCUUGAGAGAAGACCUAGGAGUCAAUUCCUAGUACUAUAUUGCAUUCUUUUAUGCACAUUAAAUUUUGCAUGGGGUGCGACACCCACCAUCGACCUAAGCCAAAGGUCGGGAUGGGUGAUAACGGUUUAAAACACAAUUAUUUGUGAAGUCAUUCUGAUACUAAAAACACCCUUUUUCACUUAGAAACUUGCUUGGACUCAUGCUUUUGCUUUAGUCUUAUAAAUAAGAGAGUUGAGGUGGAACUUGAUGAUUUUUUGACUAAUUCCCUUGAUUUUGUAGGCUAUCGUAAUGGUUUGAAGGAAGAAUUAAAGUACCAAACAGUUGCAAUGCUGAAAAGUCAACCAGAAUGCAGAAAACUCAACUAGUCAACUACAAAAGUCAACUAGUGAACAAGAAAAAGUUAACAAACGCGCCAAAAAAUUAUCACUGGUCGCCCGAGCGACGGAACUCGAAGCUUGGGCAUCCAAAUGAGCGCCUGGGCCUUACAUGAGAUCCAAUUCUCGCCCGGGCAACCUCCUUGGAUGCUUGGGCGACGGUUUCAGUGGACCGGGCCCUGUUUCUGCUUGGUUUUUUAUUCUUUUGGACCGGGCCGCACUUUGGGACACUUCUGGCACUAUUUAAGGGACACUGGGGCUUUAGGUUUUGCAUCCCUGGCAGAAGAGAGCAUACAACACACUCUUAGCCAAUUCUUAGUCUUCCAUUCUUCUUCUUUCUUCCAUUAUUCAUAGGGUUGCCCCAUGUCUAUGGGGAACUAAUUUCUAUUUGUUGUUGGGGAAUGAUGUAACCUUGUAAACUAUCAUGUAUUUGAAUUGAUUCCUAAUUAUAUAUGCUUUAUUUCGUUAUUUGUUAAAGUAAUUCAUCUGCUUUAUUCUUGCUUAUACAAUAGCAUUAUUUGUGAGUUGCAUGAGUGUCAGGAGGUUCCUUACAAUUCAUGUCCUUGUUGAAUUACUUCUAAGGGUUAUAUAGCUCAGGGAUGAGUAUGAGUCUUAGUCGUCUUAACCUCUUGAUCUUCACAUCUUUUUACCAAGAAUGCUAGGAAUUGUAUGAACUGGUAAUUAGGGAUAGGCUUAUUGACUGAGGGAUCGGGUUUAAGUGUUUUAGUGAGGGACGUUGGACUUAAUGAAUAAAGAGGAAUUCUUAUACACAUGAGAGGGAACUUGGUGAAAUUUAAACCUAACAACAUACUCAUCUCAUAUAAAUCAACCUCCAUUCAUCUCUGUGCUCUUUUGCCAUUGAUCAAUUUUACUUUGCUUUAUUUUAUUCUCUUUUCAAUACAAAACAUGAUCUCUUUUUACUUUUAAAGUCUUAAUUAAUCUUGUUUUCACUCAACUGUUCAGCGUAGAGAGUCCUCUGGGACACGAUACUUGGUCUUACCAUUUUAUAUUACUUGUGCGACUUCGUACACUUGCCGAUUUACCCCAACAAGUUUUUGGCGCCGUUGUCGGGGACUCACGGUUUAAGCUAUUCUAUUUGUGUGAAUCUUGAUUAAUUUUUGAUUUAUUUUAUUUUUCCCAUUUUUAUUUUAUUUUUUUUAAAAAAGCCCCUAAUUUCCUUUCUUGUUUUAAUUUUGUGCUAACAAUCUCUCUCUAGAAUUUUUGUGUAGGCGUCACAAUAACAUCUAACAGGAUGCAGUUCUACCAAGAUGAUUUCAACUACUGGUGGGAACCUUACCCAAGCACAAAUCAAAAUCAAUAUGAGCAACAUGGAGGACUAUUUAGUAGUCCACCACAAGCUGACAGCACUACAAAGCUUGAGGAAACCCUCCAGCAGCUCUUGUAAGACUCUAUCUCAUUUCGAAAAAACAUUCAGGCCUCAUCACAAAAUUUUGGGGCUUAGUGCAAGGUCCUAAGUCAGAUGCUGAAUGAGAUCACAAACAACGAGAGGCCUGGUAAGGAAUGCAAAGAUGUUGUCAUUGAAAGUGACAAAGCUCCAGAUGAGGAAAAAGAAAAAGAAGAAAAGAGAGAGGAUGAGAGAAAAAUAGAGAGAAAAGAAGAAGAGAGUUUGAGUGAUAAAGAAUAAGAAGAAGAAGAGAAAGAGGAAGAGAUAAAAAUAGAGAGAGAAGAAGAAGUAAGUUUGAGUGAAAAAGAGAAAGAGGUAGAAAAGGAAGAAGAUGAGAGAGAAGAAAUACAAUUUUUGAGUGAAAAAGGAGAAAGAUGGAGAGGAAGAAAAAGAAGAGGUUGAGAGAGAAGAGAAAAAAAUUGAGAAAAGUCCUUUGUGCCCUAAGGAGUGUCCCAAGGAGAAAAAGAGAGAGGGGAAAGAUGAAAGCAAAAAGAAAGAAUCAUACGAAAAACCCCUUCCUCACCCAAAAAAGGAUCAUAAGAAGAAAAAGGAAAAACAGUUUGAGCGUUUCAUGGAAAUCUUCAAGAAAUUGGAGAUUAAUGUUCCUAUGAUUAGGUCACUUCAGCAGGUUCCUGUGUAUAUUAAAUUCCUAAAAAAUUCAACAAAAAGAAAAAAUAUCUUGAAUCUAGUCUCUGAAUUUUUUAUUCUAUUUUUUUUUCUUUUAUUUUAUUUAAUUUCAUUUUAUGUGAUUUUAUUUAAUUUGAUUUAAUUUUAUUUUGUUUGAUUUGAUUUGAUUUGAUUUGAUUUGAUCUUAUUUGAUCUUAUUUGAUUUGAUUUGAUUUGUUUGAUUUUAUUUUAUUUUAUUUUAUUUUAUUUAUCUUAUUUUAUUUUAUUUUAUUUUAAUUUUUUUAUUUUUUUAUUUGUGUGGUUUGGAUUUGAUUUUGUUUUUGUAUUUGACUUUUUUUUUUUAGGUUAUGUGCUGCUUCUGAUGGUAGUACUGACAGCGUCUACUGAUGGAUGCUAAUGAAGAAGAGAAAGAUUAACAUCUACUGAAGGAUGUUAAUGAGAAAGAUUUGCAUCUACCGAUGGAUGUUGGAAGAGUUUGAGAGAGCAUCUAUUGAUGGAUGCUGCUAUGGAAGAGGAUGGUGACUAGACAUCUAUUGAUGGAUCUUAGGUGAUUAGGCAUCUACUGAUGGGUGCCACUGAAGAUAAGAAAGAUUGGUGUCUUCUGAGGGACACCAUGGAAGAUUAGCAUCUACUGAUGGAUGCUAUGAUGGAAACUGGGUCAAGCUAGUGACGUUAAAGAAGCGCUUGCUGGGAGGCAACCCAGUUCUCUGAACUUUUAAUUUUUAUUUUUGUUUUAAUUUUUGAUUUUGUCUAUUUCAUUUUAAUUUAUUUUUAUUGUGCUCUGCUUGAAUGAACUGAACUGCUUUGAUUCAAUUGUGUGAUAAGCUUGCUUUUUGAAAACUCUAGUGUUCAAUUGAAGUUGAGAUGAUGCAUGAUGUGCUAUAAGUGAUGAAUCCCAAUUUGUGAGACAGGUUCUUGAAAUAAAGUUUGAUUAAAAUACUGAGCAGGUUGUUUUUCUAAAUUUGAGAACUUGUGAGUUUACCUGUGUGAGUUUUGAGCUUUAGAAUUGUUUGAAAUAAUUGUUUUCACUUUGGAAGCAUGAAUGAUUUUGAACAAAUUUUCUGUGAUUGAACUACUUGUUUGUAGGUUCCAUGUGAUCAAGGCCAUCUUUUGUUAUCCCUUAUUCUUUUGGCCUUCGAAAUAUUUUUCCCAUUGAAAAGAGAACAAUUUGUUCUAACCUUUGAACCUUGAGCCUGAAAUGUCUUGAAAAACCUUUUUGAAAAAUCUUUACCUUGAGUUAAGUUGAGAACAUUUGAUGAGGUACUGAUAAAGGUUCAAGUUUGGGGUUACUAGGAAACAACCCACCUCUCUAGGUAGUGAGCAAUCGAAAGAAAAAGCAAGUGACAAGAAAAGGCAAAAGAAAAGAAAAAGUGAGAAAAGAAAAAAAAAAUUCAAAAAGAAAAGAAAGGGCUCACUGCAAGGGAAAGCUGGGAAACAGGAAGAAAGUUUGUUUUAAUGGUAUUUACACAAAUGUCUCUUCUGACUCAAGGAACUUUGCUGACCAGAAAAACCAAUUUCCAUCUUAGCCCAGCCAAGUUACAAGUCAUGAAAAACCAUUGUGAUGAUAACCUGCUUGUGAGUAUGUUUGAUUGUGGUUAAAUGAAAGGCAAAAUUAAUUUGUGUGACAUUGUGGUAGCAGAGAGAAACACCACACCAUACACCUGUGACUUGAGUGAGACACUUUUGAAUGCUUGAGUGAUAUAUUUUUGAGUGCUUGAGUGAAAUGCUUUCCCCGAUGAGGAAUAGUUCUCUGAAUUUAUGAUUGCAUCUUUGCUUGGUUGAUUGAUCAUUUUUAAGGAUAGCACCUGUUGGAAGUGUUUGAAGCAUCAGAUUGACUUUAAUUAAAUUUAGGCAUCUGCACAUCUUGACUGAGAUCUUUAUGCUGAAUUGAUAAAAGUGAUUCCUUGUCUUGAAAGAGAAAGUUCUUGAAAAAGUUGAGUCAUUGUAGUAAUUGUUCUGAAAAGCUGAGUUACAUUCUGUUUGCUUGAGGACAAGCAAAGUUCUAAGUUUGGGGCUAUGAUAACGGUUUAAAACACUGUUAUUUGUGAUGUAAUUCUGAUACUAAAAACACCCUUUUUCACUUAGAAACUUGCUUGGACUCAUGCUUUUGCUUUAGUUUUAUAAAUAAGAGAGUUGAGGUGGAACUUGAUAAAUUUUUGACUAAUUCCCUUGAUUUUGUAGGCUAUCGUAAUGGUUUGAAGGAAGAAUUAAAGUACCAAACAGUUGCAGUGCUGAGAAGUCAACCAGAAUGCAGAAAAGUCAACCAGUCAACCAGAAAAAGUCAACAAACGCAACAGAAAGUUACCAUUGGUUGCCCAGGCGACGGCCCCGACGCCCGGGUGACGGAACUCGAAGCUUGGGCGUCCAAAUGAGCGCCUCGGCCUUACAUGAGGUCCAAUUCUCGCCCGGGCAACCUCCUUGGACGCCUGGGCAACAAUUUUAGUGGACCAGGCCCUGUUUCUACUCUAUUUUUUAUUCUUUUGGACCGCACCGUACUCUGGGACACUUCUGGCACUAUUUAAAGGACCCUGGGGCUCUAGGUUUUGCAUCCCUGGCAGAAGAGAGCAUACAACACACUCUUAACCAAUUCUUAGACUUCCAUUCUUCUUCUUUCUUCCAUUAUUCAUAUGGUUCCCCCAUGUCUAUGGGGAACUAAUUUCUAUUUCUUGUUGGGGAAUGAUGUACCCUUGUAAAAUCUCAUGUAUUUGAAUUGAUUCUUAAUUCUAUAUGCUUUAUUUCAUUAUUUGUUAGAGUAAAGUAAUUCAUCUGCUUUAUUCUUGCUUAUACAAUAGCAUUAUCUUUGAGUUGCAUGACUACCGGGAGGUUCCUUACAAUUCAGGUCCUUGUUGAAUUACUCCUAAGGGUUAUAUUUCUCAGGGAUGAGGGUAUGAGUCUUAGUCGUCUUAACCUCUUGAUCUUCACAUUUUUUUACCAGGAAUGCUAGGAAUUGUUUGAACUGGUAAUUAGGGACAUGCUUAUUAACCGAGGGAUCAAGUUUAAGUGUUUUAGUGAGGGACGUUGGCAUUAAUGAAUAAAGAGGAAUUCUUAUAUACAUGAGAGGGAACUUGGUGAAAUCUAACCCCAACAACAUUCUCAUCUCAUAUAAAUCAACCUCCAUUCAUCUCUUUGCUCUUUUGCCAUUGAUCAAUUUUACUUUGCUUUAUUUUAUUCUCUUUGCAAUACAAACCAUGAUCUCUCUUUACUUUUAAAGUCUUAAUUUAUCCUAUUUUCACACAACUGUUCAGCGCCGAGAGUCCUCUGGGAUAUGAUACUUAGUCUUACAAUUUUAUAUUACUUGUGCGACUCAAGACACUUGCCGAUUCGCCCCAACAAUGGGCUGACCAGAGCCAAAGGUAUGAUAGAGGACUAUCUCCUGAAGAAUAAUAUAGGAAAUUAAAUAAAUUGUAGUUUUCUUAUAAUUGCAAACAAUUUGUUUCUAUUUUUCAAGUUAUUUUUGGACCCAAUGUCAUUGAGCUUUGUUUUAGGGUUUCCUAGGUGCCUUAAACAUUUAUACCUAUGUAUAGGGGCAUAGGACUAUCUGCUGAAAAAUAAUAUAGGAAAUUAAAUAAGUUGUAUUUUUCUUAUAAUUCCAAACAAUUUGUUUCUAUUUCUCAAGUUAUGUUUGGACCAAAUGUUAUUGAGCUUUGUUUUAGGGUUUCUUAGGUGCGUUAAACAUUUAUACCUAUAUAUAGAGGCAGAGGACUAUCUCCCAAAGAAUAAUAUAGGAAAUUAAAUAAAUUUUAUUUUCCUUAUAAUUGUAAACAAUUUGUUUCUAUUUUUCAAGUUAUUUUUGGACCCAAUGUCAUUGAGCUUUGUUUUAGGGUUUCUUAGGUGCCUUAAACAUUUAUACCUAUAUAUAAGGGCACCAAAUACAUAUGUAGACACUUUGGAAGUCAUAAUAUAUGCAUUUGCAGUUUUGACAGAGGAUUUUCUUGGUUCUUGGUUUAGAACUCAGAUUCUUAUCGAAGAUUAACAUCUUUGUGGCGAAUCUUCCUUUUCUUAUCAAUAUGCUAGGUUGUGGCGAAUUCUUAUCAAAUAUUAACUUUUUGACAAUAGACUAUGUGUAACUAUUUUAUUUGUUUGUAUAUUUGAAACGGACCAAUCACGAGCUACCACAUAAGCGGUUAUAAAAAAGUCGAAUUUAAAAAGUCGACGACGAUAAAAAUUCAAACCAACUCUUAGACCAAAAAUUUGGCCACAUUCAAAUAAAUUACUUUGAAAAAUUUAAUAGUUAUAAUAAGUAAUUAGUAUAAAUAAUUAAGCUUUAAAAAAAAUAUUAUGAGUAACAUUAUUAGAAAAGCAAAUUUGACCUCUCUCAUGCAUUAUUUCUUUACUUUUUAUUAUGUUAACAAACAUGUGAUCAAUAUCUAGCCAUGUUGUCAUUAAUGUCACAUAAAUAAUCAAUAAAAGCUCAUUUGCAUUUCUUAAUUUAUAAUUCUUGGAAUAAAUUCUUUAUUACUUAGAAUCGAUUAUAUUAACAUAGCAAAAUUAAAAGUGGAAUUAUAUGAAUAUAGAGGGGCACAUCAAACUUUUUAACUUCCACACCUCUAAAUCUCACCUUCUUCGUGGGUGAUUGAAAAGUACACAAAUUUUGGGGGGCGGAACAUCAAUUUGUUCUUAUAUGAAUCAAACAAAAUUUAUUACUUUUUCUCUGAAUGAUGUUUGAACAUCGAAUUCAACUGGGCUUCGAUGUUCAUACAAGAUGGUGGAGUGUGGCAAUUACUAAGCAUAAUUACACGAUGUACUUCAUCGGUUCAUCUAUAAAUAUAGCUUGCCUCACGUAAUCCCUUGCCUCCUGUUUCCCUAUUGAACAUAUUAGGAUUCAUGUUUUUUAUUUCGUUUGCAUUUUCUUUUCCUUAGAUUUCCAAGCAUUUCUCUACUUCAAACUGCAGUUUGCUAACUUGAAUUUGAAAGUGGCUCAUUCAUCAUCAUUUCAUAUGAAGGGGCCCUUUCAAAUUCAAGUUAACAAAAUGUUUUUUAUAGUACAAAAAUGGUUAAGAUAUCUUACUAAAAGGGAAGUGCUUAGGAAAAAGAAAUAUGGUUCAUAGUAUGUUUAAUGCUGAAACAAUUUGAAAUUCAUAAGUGUUAACAUUUUCCUCUGCUUUUCCCCCCAUGCCUUCAUGGAUGACAACUCCACCUUAGUUAUCAUUCAACAUAACAAAUUAAUAUUACGUAGAACUAUAGAGGUCUUCGACAUUCUCUUCAACCAGAAGCCAAAGGUUGUGCCCUUUUUAUUCUUUUUUUCCUUUAACUUUUUAAUCAUCCAAUAUAACGUCGACCUCUGUAGGGUUCGACGUUAUGGGAAUGAUGUUUGAACGUCGAAUUCGGGUGGGCUUCAACGUUCAUACAAGUUACAAAGAAAAAUUACACGAUGUACUACUUUUUCAUGAUCUAAUGUAUAUCAUCGGCUCAUCUAUAAAUAUAGCUUGCAUUUCAUGUAAUCCCUUGCUUUUUGUUUCCGUAUUGAACAUAUUACGAUUCAUGUUUUUUAUCUCCUUGGGAUUUUCCUUUCCUUAGAUUUCAAAACAUGUCUGUUCUUUAAAUUUCAAUUUGCUCACUUCAAUUUCAAAGUGCCGCAUUCAGGCCUCAGUUCAUAUGAAGGUGGCCUUUGAAAUUCAAGUAAACAAAAUGAUUUAUAUAGUACAAAAAUAGUUAAGUUAUCUUACUGAAAGGGAAAUGCUUAGGAAAAAAGAAAUAUGGUUCAAAAUAUGUUUAAUGCUAAAACAAUUUUAAGAUCUAAAAUAAUUAUAUAAAAAGGUUGUUCAACUUAAUCAUUUAACAAUAUAUGAAUCAUUUUUUAAAUUGUCUUGGAGUUGUCUUCUACCAUUAGAUUUUAGAGCUAUUUGAUUUCCUAUGGUGGAAACAACUUCAAUACAUAUUAAAUUUAUACAGUUGACGUCGAAUAUUAGUGCAUUCGAUGCAAAAGAUUGGAGAUUUACAUCAAAUUUGUGAGAUCAAUGACGUCUUAUAUCAUAGAGGAUUUCUAAAAUAAAUCCCCUUAUACAAAACACAAAAUCUAAAAUGAAGACCAAAGAUGAUGGAAUACAUUAUAACAAAAAUCAGGAAGUAAAAAAAAUAAAAACAAGCAAAACAAUGGAGAAUGUGUUUGAAAUUCAUAAGUGUUAACAUUUUCCUCUAGUUUUCCCCCAUGCCUUCAUUGAUAACAAAGAAAUGUCUUCGUUGAGAGGAGGAAUUGAAGGAAAACCAAAGGAAAAAGUUAACAUGGAUUUGAUUACCAAAGUUAUGUAGGGUAAGUUUUCAAAGGGUCCACUUGAAAUUCAUAAGUAUUAACAUUUUCCUCUUCUUUUCCACCUUGCCUUCAUCGUUAGCAAAUAAAUGUCUUCGUUUAGUGAAGGAAUUAAUGGAAAAGAAAACGAAAAAGUUAACAUGAAUUUGGUUAUGAAAAUUAUAUAGGGUAGGUUUUCAAAGGGUCAAAUUGAAAUUCAUAAGUGUUAACAUUUUCCUCUGAUUUUCCACAUGCCUUCAUCGUUAACAAAGAAAUGUCUUUGUUUAGUGAAGUAAUUGAUGGAAAACCAAAGGAAAGAAUUAACAUGAAUUUGGUUAGGAAGUGUAUGUAGGGUUGGUUUUCAUAGGUAUGAUACAACUUAAAAUUUAAUCCAAAUCUGUUAACUUAUUUCUUUGGUUAAUCCCUUUAUAGUUACCCAACAAUAAAACAUCGAGUCUCUAGGGGCAUCGACGUGAGGGGCAUCAACGUGACGGGCAUUGGAAUGGUUGGGACCAUUAAUUGUAUGCUUUUACCAAAGCACCAAUAAUACGUCAAAUUCGUUGGGGCUAUGACGUUUUCAACUUCAUCUAGAAGCCAAUGGUCGCACUAGUUUUAGUAUUUUUUUCUUUUUUCUUUUAAACUCUCAAUUUAACAUCAAAGCCUCAUAGAUCUUCGACGUAUUUUUUGUCAACAAGCAAAUCAUAUCAGAAUCCGAAGAGAAUUUUUACUUUUCCAUUGAAUGAUGUUUGAGCAUCGAAUUCGGCUAAUCUUCAGUGUUCAUACUAGAUGGUGGACAGUGAGAACUAAUAUGCAUAAUUACACAAUGUACUGCUCUUUUCGGUAUCCUUCUUGAGUUCCAACUCCUUGAUACUUUGCUCCUCUUCCAAAACAUACCAAUAGCCUAGGGAAUUAGUGAUAAAAAUCAUUAAGUGUAACCUCGAUUAUCUUAUUCACAAAUUUCAACUAAACACAAGAGGUUAAGCAACCUUCAAAGUCAAAGAGAGUUGAUUUAGUAUCAAAAUUGUAUCAUAGAUAACGGUAAAAUCAACCGUUAUUAGGGACGUCAAUUUGUUCUUAUCUGAAUUAAACGAGAUUUAUUAAAUUUUCUCUGAAUGAUGUUUCAACGUCAAAUUCGGCUAGGCUUUGACGUUCAUACAAGAUGGUGUAGUGUGGUAGUUAGUAAGCAUAAUUACACGAUGUACGUCAUUGGUUCAUCUAUAAAUAUAGCUUACAUCACGUAAUCCCUUGCCUCUUGUUUUCUCUAUUAAACAUAUUAGGAUUCAUGUUUUUUUAUUUUGUUUGCAUUUUCUUUUCCUUGGAUUUCAAAGCAUUUAUGUUCUUCAAAUUGCAAUUUGCUAACUUGAAUUUGAAAGUGUUGCAUUCAUCGUCGUUUCAUAUGAAGGUGACCUUUCAAAUUCAAGUCAACAAUAUGGUUCACAAUAUGUUUAAUGCUGAAAGAAUUUUAAGAUCUAAAAUAAUUAUAUAAAAAAGUCGUUCAACUUCAUCAUUUAACAUUGUAUGAAUCAUUUUUUAUUAAAUUGUCUUGGAGUUUUCUUCUACCAUUAGAUUUCAGAGCUAUUUGAUUUCCUAUGAUGGAAACAACUUCAAUACAAAUUAAAUUUAUAUAGUUGACUUCGAAUAUUGGCUACAUUAGAUUCAAAGACCUAGAGUUGACGUCAAAUUUUGAGUCACCAACAUCCUAUAUCAUAUAAGAUUUCUAAAAGAAAUCCCCUUUUACAAAACACAACAUCUAAAAUGGAGAAUUUUUUUGAAAUUCGUAAGUGUUAACAGUUUCCUCUGGUUUUCCCCUAUGCCUUCAUGGAUAACAAAUAAAAGUAUCCAUUUAGUGAAGGACUUGAGGGGAAACCAAAGGAAAAAGUUAACAUGAAUUUGGUAGGGGAAGUUAUGUAAGGUUGGUUUUCAAAUGGUACAACUUGAAAUGAAAUCCAAAUCUGUUAACUUAUUUCAUCGGUUACUCCCUUUAUAUUUCAUUUUUCUUUGAAUCCAACAAUAAACGUCGAAAUUCAUGAUAGUUUGACGUUGUAUGUGAAAUAGUGUUGAGAUUGUUGACAACACAAUAUCUAUAUCACUCUGGUUUUUUAUGAUGACAACACAUUGUUAAUAACACACAUAUGUUGUUGUUGUGUUACAUGUUCAUAUGCUUAUGAUUUGAUAUAUUAUUGAACAUGUUUAUGUCUUUUACUGUUGUGUGAAUGCAUACUUAUUGAGCUUGUACAUGCUACAUCAUAUCUGGUUGCAUUACACAUGUUUUAAAGGAUGAAAACUACAUGCACUCUUGUGACAAAGCUGCAGUAAAGUCCACUCCAGUACUAAUUGAUUCGACUAUACUAAAGUCUUUGUACAGAUUUUUAGAAACAGUGCUAUGUGAGAUUUUGUGAAGGAAAGAAUUUCAAAAUGCUCUGACAUGUCGAAGUCGACUGUGUGCGCCACACAUUCUGUUAUGCUCAUGAAUAGUAACAACUAUAAUUUUAAAAGUUAGUUGAGCAUUGAAUAUAAGUCAACUGUAUUGAAUGGGAAUUUAUUUUGUUUGAAUGUAUGCUACUGGUUUGACUAAUCUGUUAUAACUGUCAUAACCUAGUCGACUGAAUUAGUAGCAUAUUCAACUUAGGGAGCGUCUGAUUAACAUAAUUCUAUAAAUAGAUGUAAUAUGAAAUUAUUCAGAGAAUUUUGGACAUUUGUUGAACUAACAUUUUCAGAUUCUAUUUCAGAUUUUUUCUCAGAGAUUAUUAAGCUCCAAGAAUUCUCCAAGAAGGUGAUAACGGUCUAAAAACCGUUAUUUUCAUAUUUAAACUUGAUAGUAAAACACACCCUUUGUGGCUUAGAAUGAGCUUUAAAUCAAGUAAAACAUUUAAUUUGAGUCUCUUGAGAGUCAAAAGUUGGUUUUAGAGAUAUUAUGCUUGUUUUGCAUUGUUUUGCAGGGUUUUUGGAUGAAUUAAAGAUGGAAGUGAAGUAAGGUGGACUUAGACCCAUGAAAGAAGGAGAAAAAUGAUGAAAAGAAGGGUCAGACAAGCUGCUGAGCGCUCAGAGUGAUUAGAGGCAAACCGCUCAGCGACAAAACUGAUCGCUGAGCGGCCAAAGCGGCUAGAGGCAAACCGCUGAGCGGUCAAAUUAGGCUCCUGGGCGGUUUUCUGUUUUUUUAGUUAGAUUUUGUAAAUCUUUUUGUUAUCUAUUUGUUAUCUUUUUGAGCUUAUAUAUAGCCCUAGUGUGAAUUAGGUAAGGAUUCUUUUGGCAGAGAGAACGUCCAGAGCCAUUCGACACACCUUGGAGGAGAUUUCUUGGAUGCUUAGGCUCCUUCUUAUCAAAUCUAGGGUUUGCUUUUCCAUUCUUUUAUUAAUUUCAUCUAGUUUCACCAUGUCAAUGGUGAACUAAACCCUUUAUUGUUGGGGAACAAUGUAAUCUCUUGAAACUCUCAUAUAUUGAAAUUCUUAUUUAUUUCAUAUGCUUGUCAUAUACUUGUUUAUCAAUUGUUGGAUUCUCAUCUGCGCUCAAUGCUUUUAUUGUUUAAUUCAUUCAGUAAAUGAUGUUUGUCUUUAUCGAUAUGGGGACGUACGGUAAUGUCAUGAACUGGUGGGAAAUUCCUUGAUUAUGCAAUAUCACCUAGGGAUAGGGAUAGGACAGUCAAUUGCAUUUGCUUCAGAACGCAUUGCAUUAUUAGUUACUAGCAGAGGCUAGGGAUAGCAAGCCGGUAAUUAGUAAUAGGCUCUUUUCACCAAGGAAUUGGGCUAAGGGUAAUUAAGAAAGUUUGCAUGACAAUUAGAUAAAAAAGUGAAUUAAAUAAGAAGAGUAGAUAUAUGAGAGUGGAUAAGAUGAAAUUGUAAACCCCAACAACACCAUUCAUCCAUAGUUCUCAAAACCAAUUGAAUCAAUUGCAUUGCAUGUUUAUUUUUGUUCUCUGCAUAUAACCACCAAUAUUAUUCUCUUCUCAGGUCUUACGCGAUUAGGUUACAUGAAAGUUAAGGCCUAAGAGUCCUUUGGAAAAACGAUACUCGGACUUACCAGUUUAUAUUACUUGAUAACGAUCUAGUACACUUGCUAGGGACUUAACAAGUUUUUUGCGCCGUUGCCGGGGACUCAUGGUUUAACUUAUCUAGUAGUGUAACCUUGAUUAAGUUUGACUUGAUUGUUUAUAUAUUUUUAUCUUUUUAUUUUUAUUUUUAUUUUUUUUAUAAAAUAUAAAAAAGUGCUACGAGAGUUUUUGUUUCUUGUGCAUGCAACAGGAGACGAGACAUACUAGAAGCAAGAAAAAUACGCAACCUCUUCUUGAAGGCUUAAGCGAGACAAGAGGGAGAAGGAGAGUUAGACGCCCAUCUAGGGAUUUGUUUCCUUCACCUGACAGAUUACUAUCACCUUCACCAGAUAGAAGAACAGAGGAGAUGGCUGAGAGAACUCCUCCAAGACGCACUCUUGCAGACCAAUCAAAUACGGUUGGCCCUUUCAAUUUUAGCAGCACAGUCAUGCCUGCAGAUCAAACGACCAACAUGGUGAUGAAUCCAGCACUUAUACACCUAGUGUAGAGUAAACAGUUUCAUGGCCUAUCAAAUGAGAAUCCUUAUGACCAUUUGACAACAUUAAGUGAAAUAUGCAACACAGUGAAGAUGGCAGGCGUAUCAGAUGAAAGAGUAAGGCUUAGCUUGUUUCCUUUCUCAUUGGAGGGCAAUGCUAAGACGUGGCUCAAUUCCUUUCCUGAAGGAACAUUUACAACUUGGGAAGUUGUGGCUAGAACAUUUGUCAACAAAUAUUUUCCACAAUCUAAAGUUACUCAAGGAAAGCUAGAGAUCUCAUCAUUUAAACAAGGCAUGGAAGAAUCUAUAAGUCAGGCAUGGGAGCGAUUCAAAGGACUACUCAGGAAAACACCAGUUCACGGAUUUGACAAGACAACCAUUGUUCUUGCCUACCUUGGUGGAUUGAAUAUGCAGUCUAAGAUGAUGUUGGACGCCUCAGCUAGAGGUUACAUUAAACAGAAGACUGAGGAUGAAGCCUAUGACUUGAUAGAGAGAAUGGCAGCUAAUGGUCAAGAAGCAUAUAAUGAAAGGGGUGCACCAACACAACAGAGAGGAGUCUUGCACUUACCUGUAAAUGAUGCAAUGCUAGCUCAAAAUCAUCUUUUGACCCAAAAGCUAGAUACAUUGACAAAGAUCCUUUCACAACUUCCAAAGGAGAUUCAAAAUUUUUCUCAAGCACAACAGCUAUGUGAACUUUGUGGUGGAGACCAUAUUAAUGGUCAAUGUGCUAUACCUGAGGAGAUGCAGCAGGAAGCUAACUAUAUGGGGAACCAAUACCAGUUUAGACAAGGGAAUUUCAACCAAGGCAAUCCCAGCCAGGGUUGGAAAAAUCAUCCAAGUAUUGGUCAACAACGAAAUAACCCAUCAGGGCAACAAGGAAGCUUCAACCUUUAACUAUGUGGCAGCAGGUUGCACAUUUGACAGAGGUUGUCCAAAAUAUGAGUAGAAGAUUUGAUGAAUUCAUGAAAGUCUAUGAUUCAAAUCGCACGCCCCCACACAUUAACACGAGGCUUUCUAGUGUGCUUUGUCCUCGCUCACACACUUUCCGAGAAAACUUCCUGGAAGGUCAUGGAGUUCUUAUGAGUUAGGCUACCGAAAAGCAAAUGCAUUUGUUGAUAUGAGUAGCCAAAUCAAUUCCUUUAAGCUAUCCUUCAACUGUAUAGUCCCAUACCUAUAUAGUCUCUAGAUCCCUCUCAUUCCGGUGUAUGUUCGAUUCGUCCACGUGUCGCUUCCACUGGAAGCCUGCCAGGAGCCGCUCCUUGUCCAUGCCUCUUGCACUGGCGAUCACUCCCCGCCCUCGUCAGUGCUCGGGUGUCACAUGCCCACCAGCUUUCGCUUGGUUUGUCCUCGAACCACACCGUACUGGGAGAGGCUAGGCUUUGAUACCAUUUGUAACGCCCCGACAACUUACAAGGACUAUUGACUGCCCCUACACAUCAACAUGAGGCUUUCUAGUGUGCUUUGUCCUCUAACGGAGUACCACUAGGAAAUAAUAGAAUCCGAAAUUUUACGCCAAUUUUUUUUGUUAUUAUUUAAAAUUAACAUCGCAGAAAUAAAACUCAAUGGUUUAAGCAUCUUAGAACAUAAAGUUCAACCUUACAAUAUCAAAUCCAUUAUUCAAAAACAAGAAAUAACUUUAAAACAUGAUAAAUUCCCCAUAGCAAAUUCCCAAAUCUCUCUUCGUGCUACUCCAGCCUUGCAUUAUCUGCAACACCAUCUACUCCCGUACAAGUACGAUCAUUGUAGGUGGAACCACAACCACAAAAGUAAAUUGGUGAGUAACUAAGGACAUAACAUAGCAUAUAAUUUCAAAGACAACAUCAUAACAUAGACUAAAAUAGUCAUCACAUCACAACACUUCUCAGUAUUCAACUCAACUUAAAUCAUCACCACCCAGACUAUCAUAGUCAUAACAUUACAAUACAUCAAUGUAUUAAACUCACAACUCAAGUCAUUUACACAAGCUUCUGUUGUUUCCUUGAAUUUUGUCGUACCAAACUUGUAUCGCAAAACAGGGCGAUUCGAGCCACCUUCCGUCGCAACUUCAGGCCUAUCUCCCCGACUCCUCAAGGAAUUACGAGUAAAAACUUCGGUUAGGCACACCCACCGAGCACUAUACUCACACGAGCCGAAGUCAUUGGGCGAGACAUCCAACCCUCUCUAGUCCCCGUGCACGAGGAUAGGGUGACACUCGAAUCUCAAUCUCCACAGAGAACUCAACACACUAUCGUAUCGCAAAACGAACACCAUGGUUCGAAAAAAAUUCUAAGGAAAUCACAGAACACUUGCUCUCACAACUUCACCAUCACAACCAUACACAUAUCACCCGCAUAUUCAAAGUCAACCAAAUUCAUUGACCAACAAUUAAUUAAAAUACUCAAAUAAUUAAACCAAUCAAUUUUUAAAAAUAAAAAAAAAUUUAAUUAUUUUCCUACUUGCACACCCCCGUGAAAUUAUUAAUCUCACACUCUCAUCCACUAGAACCAAUAUUUCUAGUGCACCCCCGCUUUUACUAAAAUCACAUCACAUAGUAAAACACACUUUUUCAUGUACCCCUUUUUAUUUUAAAUACACCCCCUCUCUUAAAUUUACCAACCCAAAUGGACUUCAUUAAUCUUUUUAAUUUUAAACUCAAACUUUAUUUUUUUUUCUCUCUCCAAGUGGACCCCACUUAAAAUAUUCUUUUCUCACUAAAAGUUCUCUUUCUCUCCCUUACUCUCUACUUUUACGUAACCACUUCUCUCAUUCACUUUUUAUUUUAUUAUUUAUUUUUUCAAUUAAACCAAAAUCCACCUCACCCACCUUUCACACCAAAAUUACCGUGGACCCCACUCACUUUUCUAGAUCAACUUUUCUUCUCUUUUCUAAGACUAAAAGGCCAAUCUCUCUCCCAUUCGAUUACCAUUCACGUAACACUCACACAUCCCAUAUUUCACAAUGUCAAACUUCUCUCUCCUUCUUCCAUUUUUUUUUCGUCAAUUUCAUGCAUGUUCAAAUCAAAAGGUCUUUUAUGGAUGCAAUAUGGUCGAGGAAAAGGGAAGAUAAAUAUGGGUGAGAAGCUAUAAACCAAAGGAAAUAAAGGAGCAAUGGGGAACAAGUGAAAACACAGUAUACUCACACCCAAAACCUCUAAUUGCAACCUCUUCUUGACUCCUUUAUUCACAAUUUUUUUUCAUUUUUCUUUAUUUUUUUUUUCAUCUUGUCUAUUUUAUUUUCUCUCUUUUCAGAACACAACUCUAAGAGACAAGAUAACACAACAUAUAUACAAAAACAAAAACAAGAAGAGGAACCAACUAGCCAAUUCAUCAGAAUUUCCCAAGAGACCACACUUAUUCGCAAAACAAUUCCAAAGCUCCAAAAUUCCCUAUGGCUAAAGUAAUCAUGGUUUUUCAGUUAGGGCUAGUGUGUGAGCUUGAAAACAAAGAAAUGAGGAAAAGUAUAGGCUCAAAGGGGUUAUCAAGGGAUCACAACAAGGUAGGCUCAUCUGGCUAGAGAGGCUCAACAACAAAAUUGCCUUUAUUACUUUUAAACAUGCAUAUCAAUCAAGAAUCAUCAAAAAGAGUCAAGCCAAGGCAUAUGUGCAAGCAAUCAAGAGACAUAUCACACACAAGAAAGAAUAACAAGUGGCUCAAGUCCUCACACUGGGUAUUUCUGUCACAAUCAAAUCAUGCUCUCAAACAUCAUAAUCAUCUUCCAAGUGGAGAAAAGCAAGGAUUUCAAGCUAAUCAGAGUAUCAAUGAAGUGAAGGAAAAAAAUAACUGACAACCUAAACAAAGUCCAGAAAUCAAGAACACACAUGCAAAACUCUACACAAAACACAACAAAAACUACCUAAAAAACAAAAAAUUUAAUGCAGAAAACAUAAACUAAGAAAGAAAAAUCAGAGUCUCCCCCGAUAGACCACACUUAAACUACACAGUGUCCUCAAUGUGUCACAAGCAUAAGAUCACAAUCAUAAUAGUCAACAGAUCAAGGACAAGGGCAAUAAAAGCGGGAAAGGGGAAGAAGGGAAAGAAGAAAACUCCCCUGAUCAUGGUGGCAGUUGCCAAUUUUGGACUUUCAGGGAGAUCUCUUCCACCACCGGAUUCAGCAAGGAAGUCUUUAAGAAGAACUGCUUCAGUCUCCAUAUUUGAUCAAGUAGGGAGGUGUCCUCCACAGCUGGAUCUAAGAAGCAGUGAUCGUUGAUGAGCAGGUUCAGCUGAUGCCUAUUAAUCUUCAAACAGUUGUGCAUGUUGGCACCCUUGUCCUCCACCAUGGGUGUGUGUUGGUCAAAUUCAUGUGUACCUCCUGCAACAUGGUUAGUGCAAUAUGGUUCCAAGAAAUGAUAUGCAGGGGUAUAACACUCAAUCCUAGUGUAACAGGCUGAACCUCAGAUAUACCCUCAGAACAUGAAUCACUUUCAAAAAUAGAAACAAUAUCAACAAUAGGCUCAGAUUCAUGUACAGUGCAUGGAGAACAAACAUUCAAACAAGAUGGCAAAAAGUGGUUCUCAUCAUGCAGAGAGGGAGAAUGAAAAUCAUGCUUAUCAACAUCAUAAUCAUCAAUAACAUACCUAUCAACAACAUGAUCAUCAACAACAGAAUCAAUCAUAGGUAUGUUUACCUCCACUUCCCUGAAGAUUGGUAGAGUGGUGAAAGGUGAAGCUACUCUACCUAUCUCAAAAGUGUUGCUAAUAUCUGCCUGGUCUUUCAAUUCUUCAUCAGUCUCUCCAAAUGCAAGAGUGGGGACAUAGGAGGGUGGGAAAGUAGAUGGUCUAGUAGUAAGCUCAUGACUCUGCUCCCCAUCUCCUAUGUGGAUGACAUCAACAUCGUGUGGAAGCUGAACAGUCUGAAAUGGUGAUUCCUCUGAAACAUAAGACUGUUCCUCAGUGAGUUGAGUGACCAUCUGCCCCAUCUGAUCAGUCAAACUCUGAAAGCAAGCUCUGGUCUCCUGUUGAAACUCCAUGUUCACUUGCUGGAACUGAAUGCUCUGAAUAGUCAUAUGCUCCAAUAACUCCUUGAAUGUAGGCUUAGAAGUAGUGGAAAGAUGAGGAGUUGCUUGGGCAGGCUCGUAUGACUGCAGCUGCUGUAGCUCCUGGGCUGGUGGAGAAGGCAUACAAGAAUUCUGGAAUGACUGAUAUUGCUGUGGAGCAUCAUACCAUCCCAAGCUAAGGUCAUUCCAUCUAGGAUCGUUGUUGUAGCCAUGCUGAGCAGGGAAGAAUUUAUCCAAGAACAGUUGCUCAAGAUCUUCCCAAGAGGUGAUGGAUCCUGGAGGAAGAUAAUACAACCAAUUCCUUGCUGCUUCUUGUAAUGAGUGUGGGAAUGCCCUUAAGAACAUGUGAUCAACCGGGACAUGUGGAGGCUUCAUUGAAGAGCAAAUGAUGUGGAAUUCCUCCAAAUGUUUAUGUGGGCAUUCACCUGCAAGACCAUGAAACUUAGGCAGCAAACGUAUCAUUCCAGAGGUGAGAAUGCAAUGAACAUCAUCCUCAUUAAGUGAAGCUGGCUCCUAGGAGCACUCUCAGGAAUAGGAGGAUGAGUCAUAUUAUUCUCAACAUAGAAAUCAGCAGAAUAUGCAUGAGAAGCAAUAUCAGAGUUAAAUUCAGAAGGAGAAUCAAAGUCAUGGACAUAGGUAGAAGAAACAAUAUUCACAACAUCAAAGUAGGUAGACAUGUAGAAGAAAAAGGGGAAAAAGAAGAAUGCAAUGAAAAUAUGCAACUAAAGCUAUCUAAAUGCAACACACAUUACACGACACACAAAACGGAACAACACACUCACAGCACAAGACAAAAUACAACACACACAAACACAACAAAAGACCUAAAACCGAACCGUUGGUCCCCGACAACGGCGCCAAAAUUUUGAUGGGUGUCGCAGCCCAUACAAAUUUGAUGUGCAUAAAGAAUGCAGUAUAGUGCUAGGAAGUGACUCUUAGGUCAUCUCUCAAGGACCAAAUGUGGUUCGAGUCUUAGGUCUAACAUGAAGUGGGGGGGGGGGUUGUGAAAGGUUUUUGCAAGGAAUAUUAAAUUAAAUUAAAACUGAAAAUUAAAGGCAACCAAACAUACUUGAAAACAUUGAAAUAAAUGGACAAAGCAGGAAGACCGAACGGUCAUACAGAUGACCAAACGAUUCUACAUUGAGACCAAACUAUCUCUAAACCAAGUGAGGAAAUUGGAAAUGCAAGAAGCUAAAGAAACCAAACAAAAUAGACAACAUAGUGAACGGAAAAAGUAAAUCAAACACUAUAAUAGAUAAAUUAUCCAAACACAAUUAAAAUAAUUAACAUUGAACACUCGAUUAAAUCUACCAAAAGAAAUUAAAAUUGCAAAAACUUUUAAUUAAAAAUCUCUUCAGCCGUGACAUGUUGAGCUCCCAAAAUUCAAUUGAAUUAAAACUUGAAAUGUGACUUGCUUAAAUGGUUCAACGUGAUUUUCUCCUUGAAGAAAGGAAACAAUUUCCUCCAAAAGUAAACUCCAGCACGUGACACACAAACACCUAAUCAUCCCAUCAUUUCUUCAUUCUUAAGGAAAUAAAAGAAAAGAAAUUACCAACAUUCACCUACCAACAAAAAAAAGAAAAGGAAAGCAAAGUGGUUGUAGGUUAUGCACCACCGUAACACCAUACUUCUUUGCACCAAAUCACCUUCUUCACUCUUCAAUUAAAUAAAAUAAAAGAAAACUAGCUACACCUAAGCUACCAGCACCGUGACCAAUCAAUGAAAAGCUCCAAAGAAAAUAAAUGCUGCAACAUGGAGAAAAGGAAAUAUGAUUCAUUAAUUCAACCACAAAAAACGUAAACAUCAUCCCAUGCUGGUCAAAAACUUUUUCAAUGCUAAAGAAAAAUUAAAGAGAGUGGCGGCUGGUUUCUUCAUUCAUUCGUAACCUUCCAUUGCUUCCUCCAAAACGUUGUAGCCCAAAAAAAUAAAUCUCCUCCAAGAAGGUGUGUCGGCUCCCUUAAUGUAAUAGUAUCAGCUCUAGGUUUCUGUGCCUUUUAUAUGAUGGACGGUGGUGUGCACAUGGGUGUGUGCUACUGUACGUCAAAAAAAAUCUCCAAGCACACACCUCAACUCUUCGUAUUGGACCGUGAGCUCCUCUUCAAUUUAAUUCAGGUCGUGAGGUGAUCUUGCCAAACCAAGCUGCUGAUCCGUGAAUGUGUUGUCUGUGACGUGUUGGUGGGCUGCAAUAGCAAGCUUUGAACGUGUUGCAUUGUGGGCCGAGACAUUGCUGUUGGUGAAUCAUGUUGGACGUUUCUUCAUUUUGGACACUACAACCAGACUCUUGGAAGUGUGGAGUGAGGCAGGGACCGUGGGCAUGGGCUGUUGCUUCCGUAGUUGGGCGUGUGCACCGCUUUUCUUUGCUGCCAACCUGUGCCUCCUGGAUGAAGAAUUGAACUUGAUGGACUUCCAAAAAUUUCUUUCCAUGGGCCCCAUUGCCUUGCUAUAUAUCACCUCCUUAAUGAAGCCAACUCAUCUUCUAAAAGAAGACUUAAGUCCAAGUCGUGGCAUCUCCCUUUGGAUCCAACUCCUAUGAUGUUGGCUGCUACCUUUUUGUAAGUUGGACCAGCUACUGUCCAAGCCUUCACGUGCUGCUAUAAGUGGUCUUUGAAGUUGGCCCGUAUACAUUCCCAAGCUUGGACGCUGCCAAUCAAAUUUCAGGCCCAAAAUCAGCAGUUGUUUUUUGUUCCUCUCGGUGGCAACUGUAUCCUCUCAUUCAUACACGGGCUGCAGCUAGAAUUGUUGUGGAGUGCAGCAAGGAAAAUAUGGAGUUCAACAACAUCAACAAAGCAGGCCGUGUGUGGGGUGUGUACCUCAAGCUGGAUGCACCACUCUUGUGCUUGGAUGCUGCAGCUGAAAAAUAUGUGGGUGCCACACCGCUUCUUACAAUGAAAGCGUUGGACGUGGCAGCAACUUCAAAAGCCAUGGUCUGUUACUUUUCUUGCAACCGUGACAUUCCAACACCAAGGCUUGCUGGACCGUGAAGUCCAGCUUGCUUUUCUCACACUCCCCUUUGCUGUUAGCUGAACCCGAGAAGCCUCUACUGGAGAAGAAACAUGUUGGGCUGUGUUGAGUGUUGCAGCUGCUGGGACAUUGCUGGAGAGUGAAGGACAUGGUGGGCCGUGUACUGGCUUGAUCGCCCUGCACCUCUUCGCAGUUGGAUGCGUGAUGAACAUAUGCUUCAAUGUGGGCUGAUGAAGUUGAUGGAUGCAUGAGGACGUUGCAGCAAUCUGGACUUCAAAGCUGUUGUCGGAUCCUAGGAGUAGGCUGGAAGCUGGACGUGCCAAGUGUGGAGAUGGUCUGGACCGUGAAGGUAGCAUGUUGGAUGCGUGGAAAGGCUGCAAAAUGAUGGCCCAGGCCGUGAGCUAGUAGGACGUGAUUGUGUGGUGCGGGCCGUGAUGGCUGUGUUGGAUUCUUAUCACAAUUUGUGUCCAGUACGUAUGUCCAACCUGAAAAGGAAAUGAGUGUCCUCUCCCGCGUAGGCUAGGACACCACUUCCUAUUUGAAGUCAGCAUUUUUUAUUUCUUUUAGCCGCCCCUACACACUUCUGUUCUAUCUCCUAAAUUGUGCCUUUUCUUUUUGUUUUUUUUUUUAAACAAAACCCACUGGACCCAUUUAAAGAAGCUAGGAGCUUUUUUUCUAUUUUUUUCCUCCAGCCCAUCUACGUGUGCAUUUCCAUAUCCAAGCCCAAAAAUUCAAUGUAAAAUACCUUCAAAAAGUUAAUCCCUCAUGUGUUUCUCUCCUUUGGGUGGUGGCUACACCUUAUUUAAUCUCCAAAUGUCCCAAAUUAUAUUUCCAAAAUUUUCCCUGCAAUUAAAAAUGCACUUAAUUAGCUUAGAUAAUUCAAAUUAAUUAAAAUUAGAAUUUCUGAUCAAAUUAAGCACAAUUAGCAGAAACGGGAAAAUACCGGACAAUUAAGCACAAUUCCCUGAUUAAUUCUAGCACAAUAAACUAAGUGAAAUCAAUAAACUAUCGACUCAUCAAUAAGCUGCAGCAUGGAGUCUAUCUUGGGCUGUGUUGUGCUGCUAUGUUCAGUCCAUGCUGCAGGCUUCAAAGAUGGACUUUCCAAAGCUGGAUGCAUGAAGAUGUACGUGUGGGUGUUGCUGUCCAGCUGUAGUGUGAGGAAACAAUUGCCUGUUUCAUACCUCUUCUUGCUAGACCGUGUUUCAUGGGAGCUCUAAUGCUGCAGCCUUCUUCCUUUUCCAUGGGCCGUGGCAGCUUCAAAUGAUUUCAACCAUUGCUUUUCUUUCUUCCAUGCACUUUCUUCUGGACGUGUGAUGCUGGCCCAAGGCUGUGAUGCUGUUUGAAGCUUGGAGGUUGCAGCAGCUAUUUGCAUGGGGUAUGCGUUGCUGUAUGCGUGGAGAGAGUUGGGCCAACUUAUGGACGUGGAAGCGUUGAUUUAUGCUAGGCCGGGUGCACCUCCAUAAUUUGCUGUAGUGUGCUUGGGAUGCAGUUUUCUCGGUCCAAGAUGAUGUGGACUUGUUGUUGCCGAUUUAAACUUGAUGGAGCGUGAUGAAGGUGGGUCGUGUGCGAUGUGCUUCAGCUUUGCAGGGUGGGCCGUGUGACGUCCAUUCUUCUUUUCUCAACAUGUUACAGCCUAAAUGAAUGUUAAAUCCACGUGUGACGCCUUCUUCUCCCAGCCAGAUGAACUAUUCUUUUCAAUGCAUCAACACAGUGCUUGAUUAAAUAAAAAUGAAAGUUCUUAAUGAUUUCAUCAUCCCGCAACGUGUCUGCACCACUUUUUCGUAACAACUAUGCUUCCAUUUGGGCCGUGACCUCUUCAAUUUAACUCAGCCAAUUGCAUUAUGAAGCUCCUCUCACAUGGAGGUGUCACCUUUUAAAAGCUAAAGACCCAUGUACACCUCUCCAAGCCCAAAGGAAAAUCAUGAAAACCAAUCAUCUUAGUGUCCUCCUUUUUGUGUACACUUCUUUUGUGGAAAGUCUUGAAUUAUGUGACAGCCCUUCAAAUGUUUCAAACUGUAUUUCACAAAUUUUCUCUGCAAUCAAUAAUGCAAAUAAUUAUCUCAGAUAAUUCAAAUUAAUUAAAAUUAGAAUUUUCAGUCAAAUUAAGCACAAUUAACGAAAAAAGGAAAAUACCGGACAAUUAAGCACAAUUCCCUGUUUAAUUCUAGCACAAUAAACUAAGUGAUACAAUAAAAUAUCGACUCGUUACUUCCACUUCGUGUCUGACCUGAUUCUCGAACCACAGUUUGGUCCUUGAGAGACGACCUAGGAGUCACUUCCUAAUCUAUAUUGAAUUCUUUAUGCACAUUAAAAUUGUAUGGGGUGCGACACCCAACAAAUUUUGGCGCCGUUACCGGGGACCAACGAUUCGGUUUUAGGUCUUUUGUUGAGUUAGUGUGUGUUGUGUUUUCUUGUGUUGUGAGUAUGAUGUUCUAAUUUGUGUGUGGUCUUUAGUUGCAUAUUUUCAUUGCAUUCUUCUUUUCCCCCUUCUUUCUACAUGUCUACUUAUUUUGAUUUUGUGAAUACUGCUUCUUCUCCCUGUGCCUAUGACUAUGAUUCUACUCCUGCUUGUUACUCUGAUUAUGAUUCUCCUACUGAUUUCUAUGUUAAGAACAAUAUGAUUCAUCCUCCGACUCAGGAGAGUGCUCUUUGGGAGCCGGUUACUCAUUAUGAGGAUGAUGAUCAUUGCAUUCUCACAUCUGGAUUGAUACAUUUGUUGCCACAUUUGGAGAGGUUGAUGGGUGUCGCACCCCAUGCAAAAUUUAAUGUGCAUAAAAGAAUGCAGUAUAGACUAGGAAGUGACUCCUAGGUCGUCUCUCAAGGACCAAAUGUGGUUCAUGAAUUAGGUCUAACACGUAGUAGGGGGGUUUGUGAAAGGAUUGUGAAUGCGGAUAAACUAAAUUAAAACACAUAUGUAACAAAAAUGUAAAAACGGAAUUGCAAACACAGAUGUAAAAAUGGAAUCAAAUGCAGAAUGAAAACGGUUGGUCAUUAACUCAAUUACUAUGCCUCCUAUCCCAGAUCAAUGACAAGUACACACUGCUCUAAUCCAAAUCCGACAUGAAUCACCCAACUAAGCGAAGGCUAAUUCAGUCUUCAAAAUUACAGGCUAAGCGAAUGCAAUGCACAAAUUUAAUCAGUCAUCCACCAUACAGUCUAAUCAACUAAGCAAAGAAUUGGCACCGGUUAGGCAACUAAGAGUAUACCUAUUUUUAGGCAGACAACAGAUUAAAUAUUUAGCAGAAUCAAAGCCGCAGUAUGACAAUUAAAGUGCAAAAGUCUCAUGAAUAAACUACUCUAGCCUCUAAUCCAACACAACUAACCGACUAAGCGAAGGCUAAUCAUGCUAUCAUAAUUACGAACUAAGCAAACGCAGUGCAUCUAUUCCAUCCUAUGUGUUCUACACAGAUUGACCAACUAAGCGAAGGUACAAUCACCAACUAGGCAACUAAGCGUAUACCCAUUGCAAGAACACAGUCAGAUUUCAUAGAGUGUCAGGCAGAGCAGAAUAAACACAAAGACAGUCCAAGAAUCUCAAGGAAGCAAUGUAAUAUCGCUAAUUACCAACCCGCCUAACCUAAGCUAACAUCACAAUUAAAUUAAGACAACUUGCAUGACCCACUUGAAAAGCAAUUGAUAAUUAGAACAUGCAUCUUCCGACUGAAUAAAAUUCCAAAGAAACAUUAGCGUAAACCUAUUGCAACACAAAGCAACGAGAAUUAAAAAUGUGUAAAACCUACUAGAACCAAUUUUAAUGCACAGACAGCUAAAAUAAAAGAAGCAACAUUUAACUAAUGAUUAAAAUGCUCAUUGCCGCCGAAGUAACGAAACACGCUUAGCAAAUAAAAGGAAAACUCGUUGCAAUGAAAAUUAAAUGGAAGCACAAUGUAAAUGCAUGAACAACGAGUAAUGUAAAUGGGCAAGCUCUUCAAUGUUGCAUGCAAAUUAAUAAAUAUACAUAUAUAUAUAUAUAUAUAUAUAUAUAAGAAACAAGUCUCCGUUAUGCAUGAAGGAAGAAAAUGAAAAUCUAUCUUUCUAAUUAAAGAAAUUGAAACACCGCUUGCUUGGAAAUUCUCUAUCUAUGACGUGACACCCUUUCUCCAAAAACAAAUGUAAUGAAGUAUCCAUAACACUCUGCACCUCCUAAAGGAAAAUAAAAUUUCAAUUUACAUCACCAUCCAUUUUUUUGUCUUUGUGUGUUGUUCCAAAAAUAAAGAUGAUACCCCCUAUAGUCUGCCAAAAACUUGUUACCAGAUUGGCAAGCGUACCAUAUCGUAUCAAGUAAUAAUAAAUGGUAAGUCCAAGUAUCGUUUUCCUAAGAGAAUCACGACACUAAACUGUUGUGCUUUUGCUUAACCAAUCAAGACUAUAAACAUGAAUGCAAUUUGAUCAAUUGAGGUUAAACACAAAAGUGGAUGGAUGAAUGGAGUUGUUAGGGGUUUACAAUUUCAUCUUAUCCGCUCUCUCUUAGUUACUCCUCUUGAAUUAUUAGCUUGAUUAAUUAAUUGUCAUGACACUUUCUUAGCCUACCCUUAACCCGAUCCCUCGGCGAAAAGAGCCUAAUACUAACUACUGGCUUGCUAUCCCUAGCCUCCGGUAGCCAUUAAUACAACAUUAUAGAACGAAAGUUAAAAGCAAUUGAUCGUCCUACCCCUAUCCCUAGGUGGUAUUGCAAAAUCAAGGAAUUACUCACCAGUUCAUGACAUUACUGUACAUCCCCGUAUCAAUAAAGACAAACAUCAGUUAUCGAAUGAGUUAAACGAUAAAGGCAUUAAGCACAGAUGAGAACCCAACAAUUAACAAUCAAAACAUAUGGAAACCAUAUAAAUAAACAAGAGUUUCAAUAAAAGAGAGUAUCAAAAGAUUACAUUAUUUCUCCCAACAACAAUAGGGUUUAGUUCACCAUUGUCAUGGUGAAUCUAGAUGAAGAAUGGAAUGAAAGAGAUACAAACCCUAAAAAGGAGAAAAGGAGAGUUGUCACCAUCUCCAAAUCUACCCCAAAGGGGUGAAAAGUGUGUUUUUGUGCCUAAGCCAUCAAAAGAUACAAACCCUAACACGUUCUGGCCUUUAAAUAGGGCUUAAAAAUAACAUAAAACAAGCCCAAGCCCAAACAGAUUAUAAAAAACAAAGAAAACAGGUCAAAGCCCAACAGACAACCGCUCGGCGGAACAAGUGUGGCGCCCGGCGGUUUCCCAUAAAUCGCAAAACCGCCCGGCGGUAAGGUCUACCACCCGGCGGUUUCCCUCAAAACCGCCCAACGCCAACGCCAGUGCCUACUCUUCAAAUCUUCAAUUUUCUUCUCUUUUCUUGAGUCUACGACCUUUAUCUUCAACUCCAUUCUUCACUUUCUCAGAAAUGCUACAAAACAAUGCAAAACAAGCAUAAUAUCGCUAAAAACAGCUCUUGACUCUCUACAGACUCAUUUAUUGAGUUUUGCAUGAUUCUAAGCUCAUUCUAAGUAGUAAAGGGUGUAAUUUGGUCUAAAUUGACAUAUGAAAAUAACUGUUUUUCAACCUUCAUCACUCCCCCUAAGAUAAAGCUUCCCUAGGGUAACGUGCCUCCUUCAUAAGCACACAUGUGUCCUCUUGGAUCAACAACCUGGUCCGUGUGUUUCCCAUUGCUCCAGCGCACCCCUUUCUUUUACUCAUGAGCCUGCACCUCCCCGUAGACAUGUGAAAAGGCUUUGCUUUUUGGAUUUAGUAGAGCUGCUGCAGGUGCUCUAGCCCAAUUGAUUGCUCAUAGGCCUUGUCUUCUACGUGCUAUUUUAUUUUCACCAAAGCAGCAUGAUUACAACCGUGAUAGAUGUAGCCGCUUCAUUAGCCCACUUGCAUUUUUUUAAAAGCUUUCAAAUUGUUUGUAUUAUGCUUCCAAACAUCCAGCUGGACCGUGUGGACAUUUUAAUUUUCCAAACCAAAUAAAGUCAGCAGCUACAGCGUUCAAUUUCUUUGGGUUGUGGUAUUGUGUGCUGCCUCUUUUAAUUUUCAAUUGAAUGCACUUGGAUGCUGCAGCUUCCUAUGGGCCGUAACACUUCUUCUCUUGUAGACCAUGGCUGCCAACAAUUUAAAUUCAGCUCUUUAAUUGCUUGUUGGACUGUGAGCUUGCAUCUCAUUUCACCAAAAUGUGUUGCUUCCCUUUUCUAAUUAAAAGAAAAUACACAUUCAAAGAAAGCUAAGUGAUUCUCGACUGGACCACAAGCUGCUGGACUUUUAAAAUUAAAUUCCAUGUUCUCUUUAUUCAACCCAUUUUCUAUGUGCACCCCUAAAAAUGACAUGUUGCACCAUUUUCUAAUGAGUCCAAAAUGAAUCCUUUGGGCUGAAUUGAAAUUUCUCAUUUAACCUCCAAAUUUCCCAAACUAUAUUUCCAAAAUUUUCCCUGCAAUUAAUAAUGCAAAUAAUUAACUCAGAAUAUUCAAAUUAAUUAAAAUUAGAAUUUUCGGUCAAAUUAAGCACAAUUAGGAAAACGGGAAAAUAUCGGACAAUUAAGCUCAAUUCCCUGAUGAAAUUCGUUACAAUAAACUAAGUGAAAUCAAUAAAAUAUCGACUCAUCAGAGGUUCCAACGCAUUUGCUCUGUAAUGAAACCUCCACAUGUCCCUAAUGAUCACAUUUUCUUAAAGGCAUUCCCGCAUUCAGUAGAAGAAGCAGCAUGUGGAUGGCUUUAUUAUCUUCCUCCAUAACUCAAGGCCAAUUAGGAAGAUCUUAAGCAUAUGUUUUUAGAAAGAUUCUGCCCUACUCAGCAUAAUUUUGAUUCAUAUAGAAACGAUCCUGGGUGGAAUGAUCCUAACCUAGGAUGGUAUGGUACUUCACAACAUCAAUAUCAAGAACCACCAUUCCAGACUCCUUGUAUGCCUUCUUCACCUAUCCAUGAACCACAACAGCUGUAGUUUCAUGAGCCUGCCCAGUCUUCAUCAGCUGCUGAUAGGAAAUUGGAAAGCAAGCUUGAUUCUCUUUUGAGUUUGUUGACACGGCUGGCAUCCAACCAGAGACCAGCACCUCCAUCUGCAUCUGUUGCACGACUGUGUGCUAUAUGUCCUUCUAGUGACCACUAUACAGAUGAGCAUGCUUUUAAUUCUCCCUCUCUACAUCUCCCUGACAGUCCAAAAUUAGUAGCUUCCACCAUGACCAGGGGAGUUUUCCUUUUCUCUUCUCCUCCUUUCCCGCUUUUAUUACACUUGUCCAUGAUCUGUUGACUGUUCUGAUUUUUGAUCUUGUGCUUGUAACACAUUGAGACACUAUUUAGUUUAAGUGUGGUCUAUUUAGGGGAGAUUCUGAUUGUUCUUUGUUAGUUUUUGUUUUCUGUAUUUUUCUGUUAGUUUCUGUUUUCUGCGUUAAAUUUUUUGUUUUCUAGGUAGUUUUUGUCUUGUCUUGUGUACAGUUUUGCAUGUUUCUCUUGAUUUCUAGACUUUGUUUAGGUUGUAGAUGUGUCUUUCACUUCAUUGAUACUCUGAUCUGUUGGGAAUCCUUGCUUUUCUCUGCUUGAGGAAGAUGAUUAUGAUGUUUGAGAGGUUGAAUUGAUUAUGACAGAAAUGCCCUGUGUGAGAUUUGAGCCACUUGAUAUGCUUUAUUGUGUGUGAUAUGUCUCUCGAUUGCUUGCGCAUAUGCCUUAGCAUGACUCUAUUGAUAAUUCUUGAUUGUUAUGCAUGUUUGGAAGUGAUAAAGGCAGUUUUGUUGUUGAGCCUCUCUAGCCAAAUGAGCCUACCCUGUUUUGAUCCUUUGAUAACCCCUUUGAGCCUAUACUUUCCCCUGUUCUUUGUUUUCAAGCUCAUUAGUUAACCUUAAGUGAAAAACCAUGAUUACCUUAACCCUAGGGAAUUUUGGAGCUUUGGAAGUAUUUUGGGAACAAGUGUGGUGGUCUUCUUGGGGAUUCAUAUGAAUUGGCUAGCUGGUUCCUCUUUUAUUUGUUUUUGUCAAUAUGUUGUAUAUCUUGUCUCUUAUAGUUGUUUUUGAAGUAGAGAGAAAAGAAAAGAGACAAGAUGAGAAAUGAAAGAAAAAAAGAAAAAAAAUUAAGAAGUUCAUUCAUCACCAUGUUGGUCCUUUGAUCCGAAGGCAUGGCUGUGCUGUUAAACUGGAAAGGGCCGACAGCGUUAGACUGGUAUGCAAGAGUGCGUCUUGGAGGAGUUCAUUCAACAAUCUCCUCUUCUCUUUGAACUGAUGAAGGUGAUAGUAAUCUAUCAUGGGAAGGAAACAAAUCCUUAGAUGUGCGUCUGACUCUCUUUCUUUCGCUUGUCUCGCUUAAGCCUUCAAGAAGAGGUUGUGUAUUUUUCUUGCUCCUAGUAUGUCUAGUCUCCUACUGCAUGCACAAGAAACACAAAGCCUAGUAGCACUUAUAUAUAUAUAUAAAUAAAUAAAAAUAAAAAGAUAAAAUAUAUACAAUCAAAUCAAACUUAAUCAGUUUCCACUACUAAAUAAGUUAAACAACGAGUCCCUGGCAACGGCGCCAAAAACUUGUUAAGUUCCUGGCAAGUGUACCAGAUCGUUAUCAAGUAAUAUAAAUGAGUAAGUCCAAGUAUCAUUUCCCAAAGGACUCUUAGGCCUUACUUUUCAAGUAAACUAAUCGCGUAAGACUUGAGAAAAGAAUUAAGUGGAGGUUUGUAUGCAAAGAACAAAAGUAAACAUGCAAAUGCAAUGAUUCAAUUGGCUUUAAGAAAUUAUGGAUGAAUGAAGUUGUUAGGGUUUACAAUUUCAUCUUAUCCACCCUCAUAUAUCUGCUCUUCUUAUUUAAUUAGCUUAUUUAUCAUAUUGUCAUGCAAACUUUCUUAGUCUACCCUUAACCCAAUCCCUUGGCGAAAAUGAGCCUAUUACUAAUUACCGGCUUGCUAUCCCUAGCUUCCCCUUGUAAUUAAUAAUGCAUGAUAAGCGAAAGCAAAAUAAAAUUUAUCGUCCUCCCCCUAUCCCUAGGCAGUAUUAGCAUAAUCAAGGAAUUCAACACCAGUUCAUGACAUUACUGUACUUCCCUAUAUCAAUAAAGACAAACAACAUUUACCGAAUGAGUUAAACGAUAAAAGCAUUAAGCAAAGGUGAAGAACCCAACAAUUGAUAAAUAAAGCAUAUGCAAGCAUAUAAAAUAAAUAAGAAUUUGGAUAUAUGAUAGUUUCAAAAGAUUACAUUGUUCCCCAACAACCUAGGUUUUAGUUCACCAAAAUCAUGGUGAAACUAGAUGAAAUAUGAUGAAAGAAUGGAAGAAAUAACCCUAAACUUGGUAGAUUGGAGCCUAAGCAUCUAAAGAACCUCCUCUAAGGUGUGUGGAAUAGCUCUGGACGUUUCUCUCUGCCAAAAGAAUGUGUUUUGAUUCGCACUGGGGCUAUAUAUAAGCCCAAAAAAAUAACAGAAAGAUUACAGAAUCUAGCUAAUAAAAACAGACAACCGCCCAGGCGCCUAAGUUCACCGCUUAGUGGUUUCCCUCUAGCCGCUUGGACCGCUCAGCGAUCAGUUUUACCGUUGAGCGGUUUUCCUCUAAUCGCUUUGGACGCUCAGCGGUCCAUUCUGGCGCUCAGCGGUUCACUUGACCCUUUUUUUCAGCCUUUUUCCUCUUCUUUCCCGGGUCUAAGUCCACCUUACUUCACUUCCAUCUUCAAUUCACCUUAAAACCCUGCAAAACAAUGUAAAACAAGCAUAAUAUCUCUAAAACCAACUUUUGACUCUCUUAUGAC
RNAcentral lists this long non-coding RNA (53676 nucleotides) under Vigna radiata. RNAcentral describes it as "long non-coding RNA (VRAD_LNC009854)". Lineage: Eukaryota; Viridiplantae; Streptophyta; Magnoliopsida; Fabales; Fabaceae. The record is from RNAcentral.